Molecule: long non-coding RNA, 46458 nt
Filed under: Setaria italica (foxtail millet)
Lineage: Eukaryota; Viridiplantae; Streptophyta; Magnoliopsida; Poales; Poaceae
Description: long non-coding RNA (SITA_LNC005596)
Source: RNAcentral
GAUGGAACAAUAUGGCACAAAAUUGAUCUUUGGAUUACUCCACCAUGUUCGGUUACAAGCCACUCCUAAGCACAAUCCAAACUAGGAUGACAAAAAGAUCAACUCACACCUCUCUCCCUCUGCCAAAGGCUCUCACAAAGCAAAUGAGAAAAUCCCCACCAAAACAACCAAAGGGAUGGCUACCCCAACCAGCCAUCUCUCCUAUAUAUAGGCAUCUGGAAAAUAUCCAGAAUGCCCUUACAUGAAGCACACAACUCAAAUACCCUCCAGGGCUAAAAUUGUCCAACGUUUUCCUCGUACAUCGGAUGGACCCGGCGCCUUCACGACUUCGCUUCGCCUCAACGCAAGCUUCGUGUGGUGUCACGCAUCCUCUGACUCGACGCCGUCCAGCCGCACCGGAAUCGUCCCCCGAUUUUGAGGCCAAACUGGUCAAACCCUCUUGCACACCCCGCAGGCGUGACUCAUCCCUGAUUUUGAGGCCAAUCCGAUCAAACCCUCUCGCAUGCCCUGCAAGGCAUGAUUCACCCCCUUGUUUUGAGGUCAAACCAGUCAAACCCUCUUGCACACCGCGUACGACGUGACUCACCGAUGUUGACGCGUGUCUGAUCUCCGCCAAGCCUUCGACGCCUCCAAGUCUUUCGCUCCUGGCUCCCGGGCCACCUACUCGACUCGCCUCCGUCCCGCUUGACUCGACCGACGCCGUCUCCAUCUCAUCCGUGUACUCUUGCUCUUUCGUGCACCAUGUGGAUCGUCCAUGACUCCGCUCGGACUCCUCGGGUCCCUCGGUCCAAACAUUCAUGCCCACCCUUCACAACGCUAGUACAUUGGUAUGAACCUUUCGCUUGACCUUCACCUCAUGCCAUCGACCGCCAUGUCGCAUCCUACACCUGCACAUCACAAGCCAAGAUACACAACACACAAGAUAUGUUUUAUACAAACACCGCAACACAACUCACACAUCUGGUUAGCCGUUAGCAUAAUCAAGUGCAUAUGGAAUAUGGACUCAACCGGUAAAGCCUCAAAUCAUCUAGUUAAUCACUCAUCACAAAUAGACCAAGACACAUGUCAACUUGGUCUCUCAAUCUCCUCCUUGAUAAGUGCAUUGACAAAAGAUGAUUUGAAAGCAAAAGAGAACUCAUUCAAGUGCCCAAAAGCCAAAUAAAAGGAAACACAAGGCAACUUGAUAUGAAAAAGGAUCAUGCAAGCUCCGAACAAAAAACUCUAGGUUCCCAAAGAAGAGACAAAAAACUUAACACAACCGAAGAGUCAAGCAAAAAACACAAGAGCUUCAUGAAUCCCAAAAUGCCAUCAAAGCCAUUUCAAUAUUUGUCAAACGCUCAUCACAAUUAAAUCAAGGUUCAUAUCAACUUGAUUUUCUCAAUCUCCCCCUUGAUGAGUGUGUUGAAACCAUUCAAGCACAAAGAAAUGGUUUGAGAGGCAAAAGUCAAAAAUCUCAUCCAAGUGAUCGAAAGCUAAGUAAAAACUAAGAUCAAAGUCACUUGAGAUGAGAACAACCAUAAAAGCCAAGUUGUGAAACCAAUUAGGCAAAGCUCCCAUUCAAGUGAUCGAAAGCCAUGUAAACGCUAUGAUUAAAGUCACUCGACAUGAGAAGCAUCACAAAGACCAAAUCAACUUGGAAAAGUCUCAGUUCCCAAAGACAUGGGCAACGGCUCGACACAACCGAGACAAAGAACACAUGAUCUCUCAAGAAGAGGCAGAAAGGGCUCAACACCAAUCAUGUGAAGAUCGAAAACACAGGAUCCCUCAAGAAGAGGCAGAAAUAGCUCAAAACCAAUCAUGUGACGAUCGAAAACUCAAACCAAAUGCCAGCUCCUCAAGAAGAGGUAAAAAGCUCAACACGACCGACAAAAGAGCAAAAGAGAGCACAAAACUAGCACAAAGCUUAGAAGCUACCCCUGAACACAUGCACUCCCCCUGAAAACAUGCCACAAUGAAAUGCAUGCACAAAAGCAAAAGAAUGCAUGCUCCCCCUCAAAUGCAAAACUCCCCAUUAAAUGCAAGACUCCCCCUUAAAUGUAAACAUCAAGAUCGUAUGAGAGCACAAAAUGCAUGCCAUGGAAUGUAAAACUUACCAAGCUUCUCAAAUAUAACACAAAGCACUUACAAAGGCUAGAAGUGAGAUAAUGCACAAACAAAUAGAUCAUAAAGAGCAAUUCAUCGCCAUCAAGAUGGNNNNNNNNNNNNNNNNNNNNNNNNNNNNNNNNNNNNNNNNNNNNNNNNNNNNNNNNNNNNNNNNNNNNNNNNNNNNNNNNNNNNNNNNNNNNNNNNNNNNUGACAAGUUUUGCAGUUUAUAAAAAGUAUCACCACCAUGAGCAAGUAUCUAGUCAUGUCAUUCAAGCAAGAAGCAAACUAGGCCAUCAGAGCUCAUACAAGGAAGAUACAUUCUCAACAAGAGAUCAUUGCAAACACCCACAUAUGCAUCACAAGUCAUGUCAAGGCUUGUUGAAACCAUGUGCCUACUUCUUUUUGGUAGACAUCAUGUAACAACUAAGCAAGCAAGGAUAUCAACAUUAAGCACAAAAACUUGGUGAAUUACUGAAUUUUUCUUAUCAUAAUUUUUCAUCAUUCACAUUAAACAAGUUACAUGAAGUGCCUUUGCGGCACAAAGAAUCCAUGCUUCCCCAAGGAAUGCAUUAUGGGCUAAAUAUUUGCAAUGAUACCUAAAUCUUUGAUCCAAUUGAAAAGAACAUAGAUUCCAAGUAGAAGCUAAACAUGGAGCUAGCAUUCAAGCAAGAGCAAUGCAUAAAUAGGUAGCUAGUCAGGGGUGAUAAGCAUUUCAGAAUUCAUUAUUCAAGAUUAACAUUUGAUUCAGAAAAGCAUUUAGCUCAACAUGGUUAUAUGACAAUAUCAUCAAGAGAAUAUGCUGCACAUUGCUACACAAUCACCAACCAAUGCACUAGCUCACAAAUAGCAUAAGGAAAUGCUAAGGAUAUAUAGGAGAAGCUCAUCUAGUUCAAAGUGUACAAGGUGCAAUAUGAUAUAAAUGCAAUGCAAUGCUAAAAGAGAUGGGGCUCAGCUCAAAAUCAAGAAAGUUCAUGAGGGUCAAACCAAUCUAGGAAAAGCUCCGUUGCCAAAGAAAAACUGCCAAGGAUCCCAAUUGAGUACCAUAGAAAGGAUACCAAUUGAAGGAUCAAAAAUUGAUAUCACUUGAAGAAGAUGGAAUCCAAUUGAAAGAUCAAAUGUGAUAACAAUUAAAAGAUCAAAAGCGGAUAUCAAAAAUCAAAGCAAGUCCUUGGUCCAAACUCCCCCUCGAAUGAAGCUGAACUCCCCCUCAACCAAAGACACCUAGCAAAGAAAAGCUAGAAAAAGAAGGGGUAAAAGAAAAGUUCUAACUCCAAUAAAAAAAGAAGAGAAAAUGCAACCUAAAGAUAAGGGAAGCCCAAAAACAAAAUAAAGCUCAAUUCAUGUCACACAAAGCAAUGAUGAUACCAAUGAGAGGAAUUAGAGCAUUGCAACAUGAUUCUACAUUUAUGAAUAAAAGAUUGGGCAAGCAAACAUGUCAACAAGGUGCGAAGGAUUAUACAAAGAUACUAAGCUAAAAUGAUACCAAAUGAACAAUAUACCAUACCCAAUACAAAGACUAAGCAAAAGCAUGGUACGAUGUUCAUGUGAAUCAUCCACCAAGAUAUAUUAAAAAGCUAGCAUGACAAGAUACACAUGAAGAUCACACAUGCUAACAUGAAUAGGUGGCUAGCCUACCAUGGUAUAUUCACAGCAUGAUACAAGUAUAAAACUUGCAAAAGAGUCCACAAGUGAAUAGUAUACACGAAAGGAAAAACUCACUAUACAAGUGUACAUCCAAACAGUGUGGAGAGCCAUCAAGUCUUGAUCACCUCAAGCAAAAGAUCAAGUCCCUUCGAGCUCAUGUCCUCCACCUGCAUCCCCAUACCUACACAUGAGGGGACAAAGAAGACCGAGUCUUGCAUCCCAAAGGGUUAGUAAGCAUAUACUUGGGAAUCCAAAACUUAGUCACACGGGUAAAAGAUGCACUCAACUUAUCAUGUGGGUUAGCAUGAUGCAAAUGCCGGUUCAAAUGAGAUGAUUUUGAAAUACCCUUGGAACCAUGCCUCAAAGAAGCAACUUGAGAAGAAGAACGAGUGCUACCACUAGCAAAAAGACAAUGAUCCCCCGGGGUCUUAAGAGAAGAACCAACACAAGCACCAUGAGAACCAUGGCGUGGACCAACAUAAGAAUAACUAGAAGCAUGUCCACGAGCAUGACCUAACUCACUAGAAAAGUAGUCAUAAAACCCAUCAAUGAAAUGUGGCUUCUUACUAGGCUCACAAGUGCUCAUGCCAUGAGAUGGGCUAUGAACAACCAAAGGCCUAGAAACACGAGUUCGUCACAUUUGUCUUGCAUGACGAUAACAAAAGCUAUCUUGAUGCCCAUCUUUCUCAUAAUAGGAGCAAUGGUACAAAGGCCUUUUUGUAGGCACGGUCCGAGAGGAUGAAUCAUCAUUCUCAUUCAAGUGAGAAAUCCCUUGGGACUUAGAGCAAAAAGCAUCAACAACACCAUUUGACUUGGUGCCCAACAUUAGGUUCACACGUGCCAUGGGAAAGGCUACAUGGCUUUCUAAAAGCUUUGGCACGCACACAUCGCUCAUGCUUGAUAUGGCGAAAACAAAACUCAAUGGUAUGCCCAUCUUACAAAAGGUGCAAUGAAACUUUGGUUUGGGAGUAUGAGUUACAAAAGUGUGAGAAGCACCCUUGCCACUUGAAUUAUCUUGAGCAAUACUGGAAGAAGCAACAAGCUUAAGAGUAGCUAUAGAAGAGCUAUCCAAAGCACUAGCACAAGUACUAGCAUCCAAAGACUCACGCUCAAUAGAAGAAAGCAACUCCAGUUGGGAAGAAGCAAUUUUGGAAACACCAACAUCGGAGUGAUAAGAAUUGCAAGAAUCAAAAGACUUAGCACUAAGAAUCUUGCAUCUUGUGGCUAAAACCUCAUUUUCAUGUUUGAGACGAUCACAAGUACCACAUGGAGCAUUUCUCAAAUUAUCCAUCUCCUUUUCAAUACACUUAGCAUAUGUAGUACGCAAGAGUUUAUUUUCUUUCUCAAGGUUGGCACUCAUCUCAUUGCGCUCAACCAACUUGGCACUCAUAUCAUCGCGCAUUUGCUUCAAAGUUAAAACUUCAUUUUCCAAUUCAAUGCAUGAUGUGCAAAUAAGACCGCAUGAACAAUCAUCAUCAUUCACAUCACGCACGAUAUCAUGAUUAUCACAAGAAGUAAGGCAAGCAUCAUCAUCAAGAACCAAAGAGCACAUGCUACAAGGCAUAGACUUUAUUUCACAAAUUUCAACCCUAGCAUGCUCAAUUUGUUCAACACAUGUGGUAUGAGUCAAUUUUAAGUCAUUAAUUUCAGCAAACAAAGACUCAUAUGAAACACAUGGCAAAGAAGCAUUAGACUUCAAAAGAGCAAUUUCAUCCUAGUCUUAUCAAGAUCAUUAUUCAAAGCAACACAUGAAUUACAUGGCAUAGAGGUAUUGGAUUUCAACAUUGCAUUUUUAGAUUUUAAAGCAUCAUAAUCAAUUGAGAGCUCAUCAAGUAGUCUUCUACAAGAUUCAAGUUGCUUGUCACCAAGAUAAACAUCUCUUUUUAGUUUCUCAUUUUCAAUGUGCAAAACAUCACAAGAUUUGCAUGGUAGAGGUAAGCUAGACUUGCAUGAAAUUAAAGCAUUCACAUUAUCAAGUCUAGACAUGUCCAAAUUUUUCUUAAGCUUAGCAAUCGUCUCGCCAUGAGCACAAAGGCAAGUGAACAAACCAAUUAUACCUUGGGAGAGUUUACCUCUACUCAUCUUGUGAAGCUUGCGUUGGAGAUCAUCUUCUUGAGGCAUCUCAUCCAUCAAAAGACGCAUCAAUGCCAUCACUUCAUCAUCCUUGUUUAGAUCAUCCCGCUUCUUUCUGCUUUGAUGUGACCACACCACCUAGGGACAAAGAACCAAUAGAACAAGAGCUUGGUGCCAAAACUCAAAGCACCGGUUAGGAUUAGCCAAAAACAAGCUCAAAUCGUGAAAACCAAAUCCGCAAGCAAAAGCGCUCUUUACCUUGUCGCCCCGUGGAUCACAAAGCUGAUUAAAGUUGUGUGAUUCUUAACCAAGCUCUAAUACCAAUUGAAGGACCGAAAAGAUGACCAGAGGGGAGGUGAAUGGGAGCUGAUUCAAAUUUUCUCAAAGAAUCUCGACUAAAGUCCCAACCUAAUCCACAAAACUCUCUUCUAGCAAUAUCAAGUCCCCUUAGCUAUGCAGGAGCUAAUGGACCUAGGAAUAUUGCUAGGAACCCAAUUUGAGACUAGUGGAAGCAAGAAAGAGCCCAAACAAGUAUCGGAAGAAGAAAUUUGAAAACCAACACUAAAGUUUGGAAAAUUCCGGAAAAUCCUUCGGAAACUUCCGGACUUUCGAAAAUUUCCGGAAAACCUUUGGAAAAUUGCAAAACUCUUGAAAACAGCCUUCGUGAGGAAGUUGGAAAAAUCUGAAACUCGAUCAAACGACCUCCAAAAAUUAGAAAAUUUAAACCAUAGACUCACAACAACAUACCAAAGGUAUUUUCCAAAGGAUCAAGUUGAAAAGCCCAAGAAUUGGUCACUAGAUUCAAAGGAUUUGGGAAGGGCAUAAGAAAGGGGAUUUUCGGGGAAUCUCAAAAUUCAAGCCAAAUUUGUGAGGGAUUUGAGGGAGAUCACAUUAUAGAUGCUCACACGGGUCAUAGCAACAAUUUCUCCUAACAAAUCUCACGGGAUUUGGGCUCAAACGCGAAGAACGCAAAAUCCCCAAAAAUACCUCCAAAAAUACCGAGAAAGAUAAAUUUUAGAUUCAAAGAGGAUGGAACAAUAUGGCAUAAAAUUGAUCUUUGGAUUACUCCACCAUGUUCGGUUACUAGCCACUCCUAAGCACAAUCCAAACUAGGAUGACAAAAAGAUCAACUCACACCUCUCUCCCUCUGCCAAAGGCUCUCACAAAGCAAAUGAGAAAACCCCCACCAAAACAAGCAAAGGGAUGGCUACCCCAACCAGCCAUCUCUCAUAUAUAUAGGCAUCCGGAAAAUAUCCAGAAUGCCCUUACAUGAAGCACAUAACUCAAAUACCCUCCAAAGGUAAAAUCAUCCAACGUUUUCCUCCUAUAUCAGAUCAUUGCUUACCCUUGUGCUUGUCAGCUAUCAUGUUCAAGUAGGAAACACAGCGCUUGGAAAGUUGAUCAAGACUCUCCCCACCAACCUACCAAAAAAAUGAACGGAUUAGAUAACUAGUAUACAACAACCACAAGGAAAAAUGACUGUCACUGAUUCAGAAGGAUUCAAGGUAGCUUUGGGAGGAGAAUGGAAGGUAGUUACAGGAAUUUCUUGGUUUCUGUCAUCUGAUGAGAAAGCCUUGUAAGCUUCAGGCUUGGUACUGACGGCAUCAUCAAACUUCAAACCGUGGAGAUCUCCCAUGUGCCUUUCUCUCAGUGACUGAUCAAACACCAGCUGAAACAAACAGUAGUUAAUUUAUUUAAAACAGCAAUUCGAAAAAUUAGCAUACAUUAUGGAGACAUGACAAGCAGUAAUUCAAGUUGUCCCAGAGGAUUCGUACAUUGGGUACAUGGCAAGCUAUUGCGAUAGUUUGUGCAGUCUCGGCAGCGCGCUUCAAAUCAGAGGAGUACACAGCAGCUGGCUUGGCUUCUUUGGACAACCGACGGGCAAGCUUCAGGUUUUUUUUAAUAAUUGAUAAAAUCAGAACCACGUAAAAGCAUGAUUCCGAGACAUAACCGCACAAAGUAUAACUACCAUGAUAGCUUGCUGCCUACGGAGUACCAGUCUCAUUCAGCUCCGGAUCCAUAAAGAGUUGAAUACCGAGCCUCGUGAAGGAGGAGAAAACUAAUGGAACAAUGGUGAGAAGGGACUUCUAUACUGAAGUCUGAAUUGCUGAUACUGUUAGCAACAAGCACCUGAUUCAACUGGAGGAGCCAUUUCAAGCAUAAUCAUUGAAAUCACAAAACAGUUUUGAAAAGAUCGAAUCAUCCGGAAAAAAGGAGGAUUCUCUUUUUCCUUCUUCCUCGGUACAAAUUGCAGGUGGAGAAGGACAGGGAGAGAACUGACCUGAAUGAUGCGGGAGGCGUUCCACGACGUCUCUUCAUGCCGCACCACCACCACCUCCGCGAAGUUCUCGCCGUCCUGCGAUGCAGGUGACAUUGCUCGAUGGGCGCUAGCCGCUGCAGUGAAGAGGAGAGGGACGGACCUUCCAUCCAGGUGCUUUUGUUCCAAUUGACUUUGGAUCCGAGACUAAAGUGUCUUUAGUCCCGGGUCAAAAAUGAUGCACCGAAGGCUACCGACGGAAGGGGCUUUAGUCCCGGUUGUAAAGACCAACUGGGACUAAAGCCUCCCCUUUAGUCCUGGUUGUAACUGCUAAAAGAUCUGGUACCGAUGCCACCCCUUUGUCCCAGUUGGUAAUUCCAACUGGGACUAAAUCUUUUGUUCCGGUUGAAUAGACCAACCGGGGCAAGGGGGCUUUAGUCCCGGUUGGUAGCUUCAACCGGAACAAAACGCCCUUCACGCGCCUCCUUCUCUUUCCACGUUAUCUUUCUCCUCACAUCCUUCCUUCCUUAUCCUCGCACAACACUCCUCUCCACUUCUUAUCCACCGACGCCUCCUCUCCUCUCUACUCCUUAUUCACUGGCACCUCCUCUCCUCCACUCUCCUCUCUGCGCUGCCGCCACCCCAUCCCCCUCUGCUGCCCCUCCCCUUCCCCCUCUGCUCGCCCCUCACUAGUAGUGAGCGACAACGGGGCGAGGGCAGGGUAGUGGCGCGCGGGGGAGCGGUGUCGACCAGCUAGAGGUGUCCCCAUGAGCUAAUGCGGCUGGGCAGCGGGUGGCCGAGCGGUGCCGGGCAGGCUGCAGUGGGCGAGGGCGGAGCGGAGGUGGACAGAGGUGGGUGGCGGCAGGUGAAGGCGGAGCCGAGGUUGUCGGUGGCGGAGCGGAGGCGGGCGGCGACUGGCGGAGGCGAGCAGUGGCGGAGCCGAGGCAGUGGCGGCAGGCGGAGGCCCAUUUUUUUUUAUUUUUUACCUUUUUAGUCCGGGUUGGUAAUACCAACCGGGACUAAAGGACGUCUUUAGUCCCGGGUGAAUGACUCAUGACUAAAGGACCUCCCCUUUUAUCUCGAAAACUUAGUCCCGGUAGGAUUUUCGUGAUCUAUGGCCCUAUCCAACCUGGACUAAAGUCGCAUUUUCCACCAGGGGCAGCAUCCGGAAGGCUGGAAUCACAACCACCUCUCUUGUCCUAUAUAUAUAAUUACCCCGUCCACUUGUCAUAUGUGUUCUUAAUAUUUCUCAUAGUUGACUGUAAUCUCGUCUUGGUUUAUUUAAGUUAGAAAGAAACACGGGAAGAGCAACAGCGCGUUAAUUGGUUUCUGCUCCAAGUCUAAAAGUCUUCCAAGUUUGUUGUACCAGAAUGCUGAUGAUUGCUAUUCAGCCAAGCAAACGAAACACGGUUGCAGAGUGAUGAUACAUCAAGUUCAUGACAUUUAUACUAGACCACACGCCCAAGAAAAUGCAAUGUAAAAACACGGAGAGGCGGAGGCGGUCGGCGGCCGCGGCGUGAGGGCAGAGACGGUGGACGCGGCACGAAUUGAAGAACCUCAAAACGCCGCGGCAAGCGGCAUUGUGGCCGUUGAAUGGCGGGGUUGUAGCCCUCAAGCCGCAUCCAACCAUCACCAAAUGCACUAUGCGGGAAGCCAUCUCCGGUGAGGUGUCCGGCGUCCCCGAACUUCUCCAGGAUCCAACGGCCAUCGGAACCGGAGAUAUGGACAACGCUGAUUGAGGUGUUAGGAAUUUUCUUGCCAACCGAGAUCGUUGGAUCGGCGUGCCUGCAGAUUUCCUCUAUGACUGCCUCAUGGGAGACGACGACCACCCGCUCACCUUUUAACGCAACACGCGACAGCUUGAAAUUCACCACCAGGUGCAAGUUUUGACCAUAUAGAGAGCACAAGAAAUUACUAUGUGGAUUAGUGCUUACCCUUGUGCUUCUUGGCGAUUUCGUUCAAGCGGGAAACACAACGCUCAGAAAGUUGAUCAAGACUCUCCCCGCCACCCUGUCCAAAGGAGAUGACUAGUGAGUAAUAUAUAGCAACCAACAGGGGAAAAGCAUGCCUAAGCCUAGCUUUUACUUCGACUAAGACUAAGUACAACUUUGAGAGGAGAAUGGAAAUUAGUUACAGGUAUUUCUUGGUCUCUGCCACCGCAUGCGAAAGCCUUGUAAGCUUCAGAUCUCUUGGCAUCGUCAAUGGUCCAACCUUGGAACAAUCCCAUGUGCCUUUCCGUCAGUGCCCGAUCAAUCACCAGCUGAAACAAACAGCAGCCCAUUUAUUCAUGAAGCGAGAAAAAUUAGCACAAACUAUUACUAGUAUUCAAAGAAUGUUCAUACAUCAGAAUCAGAUACGCAGCAAUGCUCUGCGAUCGUUUGCGCAGUCUCGGAAGCACGCUUCAAGUCAGAGGAGUAGACGGCAGCUGGCUUGGCUUCUUCCGACAGACGACGGGCAACCUUGAGGGUUUGAACAAAAUCAGAAUCACGUACAUAUCUCAAGUCAUGACGAUCUCACAAAGUAUGGCGUACCUUGGCAGCUUGCUGCCUACCAGUUUCGUUCAGCUCCUGAUCGAUCCGUCCCUGUUGAAACUUAAAAUAAGCCUUAACACAUGUUGUAUUGCAUCGCAGAGGGAGAAUCAUAUCUAAGUGAUGCGAUAAGUAGCAAGCUGUGACAGGACAGGAUGAAGAAGAAGCGACCUGAAUGAUGCGGGAGACGUUCCAAUCCGUCUGUCCAUGGCGCACCAACACCACCUCCGCGAAGUGCUCGCCAUGCGGCGAUGCAGGUGCCAUUGAUCGAUCGGCCGGCGUUAUUGCUGCAGAGGGAACGAAGGGGAGAUGGAUGGUCUUGCUCUAGCUGGCUUGCAGAGGUUCCUUGAAAUCUGGAACCUCUCUGCUCUCUUGUGCUAUAUGAUUGGCCAUCUGGGGCGACUUCAUAGGAGGCCAGAGAGGCCAGAGAGUAGAUUAUAAUUCGUGUACGUUUUGAAGAUGGAAAGAUGGCGACCUGCUAGUUGACUAAUAAAUUAGAAACACGGUUUGAUUUGGUUUGGUUUCGAGAGCAAUUUUGGUUUAGUUUGGUUUCAAGAGCAAUUUGAGCAACAACACCCAUUCCAACAGCAGGUUCGGCUUCUCCAGCAAGUACGUGGCCAACUAAGCUGGUCGGCGGACCAAAUUAAAGAAGCUAUCCACUUUCUUCUCCAUCAAGAUACCCUGUGCUAUAUAAUUACCCCCAUCCACAUCAAGAUACCCUGUGCUAUAUAAUUACCCCCAUCCACUUGUCAUCUGCGUUCUUAAUAUUUCUCAGAGUUGACUGUAAUCUCAUCUUGGUUUAUUUAAGUUGGAAAGAUAAUUGCCUGCUAUUUAAGAAAAAAAAACACGGGAAGAGCAACAGCGCGUUUGGUUUCUGCUCCAAGUCUAAAGUCUUCCAAGUUUGUGGAAUCAUUAGAAUGCUGAUGAUUGCUAUUCAGCCAAGCAAAGGAAACGCGGUUGCAGAGUGAUGAUACAUCCAAGUUCAUGACAUUUAUACUAGAGCACACGCCCAAGAAAAUGGCAAUGUAAAAACACGGAGAGGCGGAGGCAGUCGGCGGCCGCAGUGAGAGGUGUGCGAGCGCGAGGGCGGAGGUGGCGGACGCGGCACGAAUUGAAGAACCUCAAAACGCUGCGGCAAGCGGCAUCGCGGCCGAUGAACGGCGGGGUUGUACCCCUCAAGCCCCAUCCAACCAUCACCAAAUGCACUAUGCGGGAAGCCAUCUCCGGUGAGGUGUCCGGCGUCCCCGAACUUCUCCAGGAUCGAACGGCCAUCGGAAUCGGAGACAUUUACAACGCUGAUUGAGGUGUUAAGAAUUUUUCUGCCAACCGAGAUCGUUGGAUCGGCGUGCCUGCAGAUUUCCUCUAUGACUGCUCAUGGGAGACGACGACCACCCGCUUACCUGUUAACGCAACACGCGACAGCUUAAAAUUCACCACUAGGUGCAAGUUUUAACCAUACAGAGAGCACAAGAAAUUACUAUGUGGACCGGUGCUUACCCUUGUGCUUUUCGGCGAUUGCGUUCAAGCGGGACACAGCGCUCGGAAAGUUGAUCAAGACUCUCCCCGCCACCCUGUCCAAAAGGAGAUGACUAGUGAGUAAUAUAUAGCUUUUACUUUAACUAAGACUAAGGUCCCGUUUGGUAGGGCUUCUCAAAGUGCUUCUCCACCGGUUUUUGGUGAAGUCCUACUAAUGGGUCAAUUUCAAAACGGCUUCACCACCAAAGCCAGGGAGAAGCCGCAAAACGGCUUACACUAGAGAGGAGAAGCCAAAAAAAGUGGCUUCACCGGCUUCUCCUCCCUCUCCAAGCAUUAAGUGAUCAUAAAAUUACAUAUAUUGCCAUUGAGAAGCCGUUUUACCAAAUGUUUUGCAAAAUGGCUUCAGCUUCACUAAAAAAGCCACUCCACCGAAAAAGCCGAAGCCGAAGCGGAAAUUACAUAUAUUGCCAUUGAAAAAUUACUAUGUGGAUCGGUGCUUACCCUUGUGCUUCUCGGCGAUUGCAUUCAAGCGGGAAACACAGCGCUCGGAAAGUUGAUCAAGACUCUCCCCACCACCCUGUCCAAAAGGAGAUGACUAGUGAGUAAUAUAUAGCUUUUACUUCAACUAAGACUAAUUAAGUACAACUUUGAGAUCAGAGGAGAAUGGAAAUUAGUUACAGAUAUUUCUUGGUCCUGCCACCGUGAGCGAAAGCCUUGUAAGCUUCAGAUCUCUUGGCAUCGUCAAUGGUCCAACCUUGGAACAAUCCCAUGUGCCUUUCCGUCAGUGCCCGAUCAAUCACCAGCUGAAACAAACAGAAGUCCAUUUAUUCGGAUGAUAUAUAGAACACCAAUAAUUCGUGAAGCGAGAAAAAUUAGCACAAACUAAUACUAGUAUUCAAAGAAUGUUCAUACAUCAGAAUCAGAUACGCAGCGCGAGGACGGAGGUGGCGGACUAGGCACAAAUUGAAGAACCUCGAACGGCCGCGGCUAGCGGCAUCGCGGCCGUUGAACGACGGGGUUGUAGCCCUCAAGCCGCAUCUAACCGUCCACGGAUUUGGGCCAUUGAAUAGCUUAUUUUUUUUAAAGAACAGGAGGGUAAACCCCUACUGAUUAUAUAUUAAAUUGAAAGGAUACAAAGAAAAUGGCACAAAUCUAAAGAGAGAAAAUAAAAAAAAAGGAAGAGGAAGAGAAAAAGAAAAAAGGGAAAAAGACAAGCCUAGGAGUACAAGCUAAGAGAUUACAGAGUAUGUAACCAGACAUUCAUAGCAAGCACUAAAGCAGGGUGCGCUCUAUGGGGUAACAAGGAAAAUUCAGACAUGAAUUUCCUUUUGCACAAUUCCACUGAUGGAUUGAACAUCCAGUCAUUCCUAGUCAUCCAGAUGCUCCAUGACAUAAGAAUUAUGAUUUCCAUGAAGAAAGGAACAUGCUCCAUGACAUAAGAAUUAUGAUUUCCAUAAAGAAAGGAACAGCAAGCUUGUCCUUGAUUUGUUUGAAAAUCCGAAGGAUUGGUUUGGUGGUGAUAACUGAUACUCCAAUUGAAUUCCAGCAUGCUUUGGCAAAGUUACAUUGGAGGAAUAGGUGUGCCACAUAUUCCAUCUUUUGUAAUAUACAUAGUUCGCAAGUGUAGGAGUCAAGAUCCAUUUGUUUCCUUCUCAAUAUAUCUCUUGUACUCAGACGAUCUUUGAGCAAUAACUAGAAGAAGACCUUGUGUUUGAUCUGACAUUUAGAUUUCCAAAGUCAGAAAUAUGCUGGAUGGGUAUUCCUCUACCCAAUGAUAGCCUUAUAUGCUUUGGAUGUUGAAAACAUUGAAUUGCCCCAAAUGUAUGUACACCUAUCAGGUUCUUGUACGGUAUUCAUGCCAUCAAUGAGUUGUUGCAGGAUAUGGUAUUCAUGCCACCAAUGAGUUGCUGCAGGAUAAUAAAUUGUGAAUGUGCCUGGGUUGUUAGGGGUAAGUUGAAAUUCUGGAUGAAACUUGGUUAGUUGACAGCCGCUUUGAAGGUGAUGUUGUAGUCUUUGGCAAAUGAGAUAAGCUCCGGAUGAACCUGUGAUUGCACUGCUCCAUUCCAAAAGUCUUUUCAAAAGAGUACUGUGGAGCCUUCUGCCACUAGAACUGAAGCAAUUCCUUUGUAUGUAUCCAAUAAUUUGACUACAUCCCUCCAUCAAAAGGAGCCUUUUCUUUGCUAACCCAGUAGUCGACCAUUAGCAUAGUAAUUUUCCCAUACAAUGUUGACCCAAGGAGUGUCAACCUUGGAGAAGAACUUGUGCAGGAACUUUAGCAACAUAGCAUCAUUAUGUGUAGCAAGAUUGAAAACUCCCAAUCCACCUUGUUUCUUAGGCAAACAUACCAAAGGCCAAGCAGCUGUGGAAGGCUUCUUGGAGUUCAUGUCUGAUCCCCUCCAUAAGCAGUAUUUCCUAUAUUUGUGCAAUUUUAGCGUUGAUGUAUAGAAAACUACUGAUGAAGAGAAGACCGAGUUAACCAUCUCCAACUUGCCAACUUGACUCAAAAAAAGGGACAUGUUGCUUAACCUCUUUUCUAUCUUUUGUAUGAGGGGCAGAAAAUUUUCCAUGUUAGGCUUGGUGGUUCCUAGGGGCAGUCCCAGAUAUGUGAAGGGGAGAGAACCUUUUUGACAGUUAAAAGUUGUGGCAAGAUUCUCAAGAUUUGCUUCAGAAAUGUUUAGGGGUACUAUAGCCGAUUUACUAUAAUUGACCUUCAGUCCAGUGGAGGCAGCAAAGGUGCUAGGAAGGUCUUUGAGGAAUAAGUGCUGGUUUGGGCAGGCCUCCAUAACAAGUAGGGUGUCAUCUGCAUAUUGGAUAAUUGGAAAAUUUGUCCCUGCUCUUUCUGGAAUUGGUAGUUUAAGAAAUCCUUGGUCUUUGGCUCUAUUGAUGACUGAUUGAAGUAGGUCUGGUGCCAGGACAAAAAGAAGAGGUGAGAGGAGAUCACCUUCCCUUACUCCUCUUCUGAAGUGAAAGACUUUCCCUAGAACUCCAUUCAGAAGAAUUGAAGAUGUGUCUGAUCCUAGUAUGUCUUUGAUCCAAUUAAUCCAUCUAUCCCCGAAGCCUUGUGUUUUAGAAUUUGUAGAAUGUUCUGAUGUUCCAUCUUAUCAAAGGCUUUUCCAAAGUCUAGUUUCAGAAUCACUAAUUCUCUUUUAGAGGCCUUGCAGAUAUGUAGAUAUUCAAUGACCCAAGCCAGAUAGUCGUGUAUAGAUCUUGAUCUAAUAAAACCAUAUUGAUUUUUGUGGAUGAAUCUUAGGAUGACCUGCUGUAGCCUGUCUACAAGUAGCUUGGUGAGUAGCUUAAUUGUGGAGUUCAGGAGGGAAAUUGGUCCAAAGUCUCCAACUAAGGAUGGACAGUUCUUCUUGGGGAUCAGGAUGAUGUAUGAAGCAUUGAUGCUUCUUAGACAUAUAUUUCCUUCAAAAAAAAUCCUCACGGAGUUUGUAGAAGUCUUGAGAAAUUAGGUUCCAGCACUUCUUUAGGAACUCUACAUUAAAGCCAUUAGGUCUUGGGGACUUGUUGUUAGGGAGCUCUGUAAUUAUCUUAUUAAUUUCUUCUUAGGUAAAUGGACUUUCUAACCAGUCCAUAUUGUUGUCAACCCGAAGUAGAGAGUCAAGGUCAAAGUACAUGUGUGUAAACUUUGAGGUUCCUAUUCUUCCUUUAUAAGCGUUCCAGAGCAUUGCUGCCUUGGCUUCAUGGUCAAACACCUCACUUCUAGAAUCAUCUGUCAGAGAGGUAAUAGUGUUCUUCCUGUGUCUGAUCGACGCAUUGGCAUGGAAAAACUGAGUACACUUGAUGGGUCCAUAGACCCGGGGUUCCCAAUGGGCCUGCUUUUGCACAACACCUGGCCCAACGAGAGGUGCAGUGAUAAUGCACGCCUGGGCCGGCCCAAAUACGUGACGCCAGGCCGAGACCAUGAUCCAGCCACCGACCUGCAAUUCCGACUAGGAGGCCUGGUCGACGCCCCGACCAGAAGGCCUGGUCGGGGGCGGGACCACAGUCCGACUCCGACCAAGUUCCCCCAACUAGGGACACGCCAGACCUACGCAUACCACUCCUUCCCGACUGGCACGGUCGGGACUAUGGCGGAACUACCCAAAUUAACCUGACUAAAAUGCACUUAAGUCAUCUGACACGCGAUCAUGCACUUUAACCAAGUCAACUUGGUCAUCCGUUGGAUUUCAUCCGAUAAACCACUUACUCAGGAUCGAGAAGCAUUGCUCACAUGAAGGUGAGUGGCACAAAGAUUACAACAUUCCUAUCACAUUAACAUAGUUUGGAAGGUUGUAAACAACGAAGAAGUAAAACAAGCGGAAGCUACCCGACGAUACAUAAUACCAUGGAGAAGCCGACCAUGAUAUCAAUGACCCCUGUCCUCGCCAUCCGAGGAGGGAUCCCACUCGACUAUCCAACCCGGAGGGAGCUGGGUAGGCCAAGUGGUGCCAGCAGCCAAACUAUCGACAUUACCUGAAAAGUUAUGCCACAAGCAAGGCUGAGCAACUAAUACUCAGCAAGACUAACCUAAUAGGUGAUAACUAUUCACCGACUCCUAGACAUGCAAAACUUUUUGGUUGUGGGUUUGUUUUUGCCAAAACACCUAAAGUUGUCCUUACUUUCAACAUUUUAGCUCAAGUUCUAUGUUCAUUAACCAGACUAGAUUAGCAACUUAUACUAAACAAGCAUAGUUUCCAAACAAUUAAAGAACAAGCAUCAAGAUUAAAGUCAUCAUCAUAUUCCUUCUUUACUCAGUGCAGAAUAACGAUCAAGCAGUCCCAAACUAUGAGAGGCAGAUGAAUUAAUUUGAAUUUAUUAACCAUGCAUGGAGAACCUAAUCUCACGACAUCCGCGCACCACGAAGGGUCGCUUCACUUGUCAGCCGUCCCCAUCGAUCCCUAUGCACGUGUCAGGGCCAAACUUCCCUGGCAUGCAAUGCUGCACAGUCCCGGUCUCUUGUCGUACUGUGACGGCACUUGCACCCACAUGAUGCACCAUGGGAACCUCGUUCCAGGGACAGCAGGAGUAUAAGACACGCCCCAGUUCAAUCAGGUACUAGGCUUCCCUAUCCCAUACUAGGUAUGAGAUUAGUACUUUCAAACACUUGAUCAUGAACGCUGACAUGUUUUGACCUUAGCAAGUUCAUUACUAGACAGACAGGGCAAACCACCACAUUGGAACCAUUCCCGGUCCCGUCCGUCAUCCUUAUAGUUGUAGUAUGAGAAAACAAACAACUCCUAUAACUCGCGAGUGACAGGCAAUCACUCGACUUUUGCCAAGUCCUAUUUAGCACAACAACUACUCGACCUUAGCAACUAGUGUUCAGAUCAAAGGUACUAAAUUCAUGCAUCUACAGUUUCAAUCAACUCCUACAAACGUAAAUGCACAAUCAUAAUCAUCAAUAUAUUGCAUAAAUUUAAAACAGGGAAGCAUGCACCGGGGCUUGCCUUCAGGUUUAGAAAAAUUUAGCGGGUCUUCGGGGUCUUGAUCUAGCUCGGGCUCAACUUCCGUGUGAUGUAGCUCUGCGGCGUGUUCCUCUUCCAGUGUAGGGUGGAGCUCGUAGGUUCCGUCAGCGAUAUUAGCUUCUACACGACAUGCACAUGCAGAGAGUUCAAUUUUUCAUGCUUUCAUACGAAUGAUGUAAGACAUGACUUAUUGCUGAAAUGAAAGUUGCAUUUCGACCACAUUCACCUAAACAAGGUUUCAAAUUUCGUUACCUUCAUGAAGUAAGGUGUGUUGUGGUUUAAAACUAAGGGUUGACUUUGAUGGUGAUUGUGUACAUAUAUAAGAUUUCAUAACUUAGACUUCACAAGGAAAGUGAGGGUCGCUUUUAGGAUUGUUCGGGUUUCAUUUGGAAAGUCAUUUAUUUCUGAAUGUUUUUAUUGUACCUCUUCCAAAAAUCACCAAUUAAGUUUACUAGGACUUAACAUUUCCUUACUCAUUUAAACCGAUUCCUCAUCCAAAAUUUGUUUCCACAAACCAACACUAGCAUAUGACAUUGAGAAAUGAGCAGUACCUCACUCAUGUCAUCAAUGAGUUACUGUAAAAAUUUGGGAUCCAUUGAAUUAGCACAAAAAGAAUUAAAAUUACUUUAUUACCCAAGGGUAGCAUGCACUUAACCAUUUUUAUCUCAAAACCUACAGUGAUUCCGAGGGUGAAACUUUAACAGUGGGUUGAAGGUGUGUUAUAGAGACUUUGGUGAAUUUUUCAUGAUUUGUGGUGAAGGACAACUAUUUCCCAUAUUUUACUCCUAUUAUCUUGAUCUAAAAAGGAAAGUGGGUUUCAUCAAGCUUUAGUCAAGGUUUCAUAUUUUCCAUGUGAACUAAGCUUCAAAACUAAGCUACUCCAAGUGAUUUCAUAUUUUUCUCAGCUCUAGAUUAAAACUUAUGCAAAAAGAAAGAUUUAACCCUAGAUUUCAAAUAUAAAGCUAAAACAGUGAGUUAAAGUUCUACUCCAGGGUCUUCACUAUUUUUCCAAGCUUCCAUACUUAGAAACAUACACCAUAGAGUUGGAUUUAUCUUUUUAGUAUUUUUCUUUGAUUUACUAUGAUUUAAAAGGCCUAAGCAAGAAAUGAAACUAUAGGGUCUUAUUUCCAACAGUAACAUGGGCAAGAUUAUUUUUGUAUGAAACUGGAUAGUUCACUAAGUCCAACAAAAUUUAUUUGGCAUUUUCUAAUUUUUCUACGAUUUAUGGUGCAUUUACAAAGUUUAUUCUAUUUUCUAUCAAUUUAAAACAAUUAACCGAAAGAACUUACAAUCUAACCCUCGCGUCUAAGGUUUAAUCGUGCAGUGUUCUCUAGUUCUUGUGCUAAGGCCCCUAGAAAAAGAUAAAAGACACAGGGAGGCCCCUAGCGGCGGCCGUCGCCGAUCUUCGCCCGAUUUCGGCGAUGCAAGGCUUGGGCCUGGGCAAGAAGCUAUUGGGGAGAAGCGCGUUCUCACCUAGGGUCAAUUGGCGGCGGUUAGGACGUCGGAGAGGGCUCGGUGAAGGCGGAACGCCGUGGGGACGAGGAGCGGGUCGUGGCGAUGGUCCUCAAGGUGUUCCGGUGCCGGUAGUGCUCCGGGAGGGCAAUGGGCAGCUCGGGGACGUGCGUGGUGGAGCGGCGGAGCGAGCGGCGGUCUCGAUGGGGCGCGGGGCGGCACGGAGGUGGGGCUCCACGGGAGACCCGAGCGGCAGCCCAAGGAAAAUAGGGGAGCGGUGGUGCUAGAGCUAGCGGAGGGCGGUGUAGGCGGCACCAUAAGUCCUUUUAUAGGGCCAGGGGGAGCGGCGGGUCGAGGCGGGGCUCCGGACGUGGGAAGAUAAGAUCGGAGGGGCGCUGUGGGCUGCGGGUCGAAGCUCCAUUGGCGGCGGCGCCAUUGGUCGGGGUGCGGAGGCCGUGGGAUAGGAUCCCUCGGUCAUUGGCCUUGAGGGAUUCGAAGCGUGCAUGUAACAACCCUAGGUUAGCUAAACCCUGUUUAAACUUAAAUGAAGCAAUUAACAGCUGAUUAAACAAGUCAAGGGUCAACUUUGGCCCCUAAGAGCUUAAAUAUGUGAUUAAGUCAUAAGUUAAAUUUUUAUAUAACAGCCUGAAAUUUUAUCCAACUAAGAGUUGUUAAACUCAUCAUUUCUAACAACUUUUAUUAUAAGCAUUUUGUUUGAAAUUGAGUAGAAGAGAUCCAAAAACUCAGUUUAAAAUCAGAGGCUUUUCAAAUCACUCAAAAUCCUAAGUGCUGAAAGGCAUGAAAAAGUCCCAACUUUGGGGCUCUUUAUUUCAAAAUUUCUAAUAUAAAAUCAAGCUGAGCUCUAUACACAAGUUUUAGAACUUCAAGUGCUUAAUAACUUUGAUUUUUGGAGCUAGGCCAAAAUCUGCACAAAAGUUUUCAAACUUUAGGUCAAACACAGCCAGUUUGGUCAACACCGUCACACUCUGAAAAUCGUUCCAAGUCUGAAGUUUUCAGUUUUUGCCAAACAUUGAUGCAUUUUAUCUCCAAAACCGUUUGGAUUUUGAACAAAAACUUUAUGAAUAAAGUAAACUAGGGUGCUAGGCCUACAAGUUUUGUAAAGGAGGGUAGGGGCGAGCAGUUCAAAAAUUGGUAGUAAAUCAAGCCCCAAGACCGGUCCUCCGGCAUUUUUCGCGUUCCCGCCUAGCGUCAGAGAACGCACGCGCCAGAGCCCGCACCUCGCCCGCCGUGUGGCUCCACCUCACCGGCGAGCCCCGUCACCCAACCUGCGGCCGUGAGCUGACCCGACAAGCGCCGCCUCGCCUAAUAGCCUCGCUUGCCGCGACAGCCUCGACGCGCGCCUACAGUCGGUCGCACGCCCAGUCACCCGGCCCUCUGCUACGGGUGCAUGUCCCCGCACGCGCCGCAGACCGUCGCCGCCACUUCGCCCAACGCCCUCCCGCGACAAGAUGCCACAAGAGCCGAGCCUUGCCAAUGCGCCUCCCUAACAGCCCCGCUCAUUCGCGCACGCGAGCUCUUGCCCUAUCCUGCCGCACCGCCCGUCGGCGGCAAUGGCCACUGCCGAGCCUCGCCAAUGCGCCUCCCUAACAGCCCCGCUCGUCCUCGCACGCGAGCUCCUGCCCUAUGCUGCCGCACCGCCCGUCGGCGCCAAUGGCCGCCGCCAUGGCCGGUCCACCCGGCAGCACGCGCCUUGCCCCACUCUUCGGCUCCAGCUACAGACGCGUGCCUCGCCGCGGCUAUAAUACGCCCACCAGCCUGCCCGCACUCCCUUUCACAGCUCCGCGCACCCGCACCGCCGGAACGCCCACCUGAGCACGCCGCCGCCUAAGCUCCUCCAUGGAGAGCUAGCCUCCGCCGUGCGCCACCCCUCACCGGUGCCCCUAGCCACUUCGCCGCCACCUCGCGAAGCUGCUGCGCUUGCCCAUCUCCGCCGCCCAGACCCAGCCCCGCCGGAACACCAACGCCACCGCCCGCCGCCGCAGCCGAGCAAGCCGUCUCCGCGUGCUGCCACCGUCGGACCGCCCCGCCGCCCGCAACCGCCUCAAAUCAGUCGCAGGUGAGCCCCUGCGCCUCCCCGACCUCUUGUCACCCCAAUCCCGCUGGCUAAUCGCCGGAAUUCCGACCGGCCACCGCCGCCGGCCCGCCGAGGACUCGAUUGCAUUUGAAAAAUGCGAAUUAGGGGUCUCUGUGAAGUUUUGUUACAACCUAUGGGUGAUUAGUUGAAAACCCGAGGGCCCAACCGUAAGUCUACCUGAGAAAACCCGCGCGAGGACCUGUUUGUGUAUAGCGAGGGCAUGGUUGUGAAAUCCGAAAGUUUCUGAGGGCCUAGUUGCAAAUACGUUUCGGUUUAUAUUUUUAUAUCGGCAGAAUAUAUGUUUAACUUUGAAAAUUCACCAAAAUUCGUAGAAAAUUCAGCAAAAAGUCAAACCAAUUUUGCUAGACUCAGUAUAAGAGUAGUUUUUAAUAAAAAUACUUUUGGCACAUGUCUUUGUUAGAAUUAAAUUUAUAUGAUUUAAUCCUUGUUUAAGCUAUUUAAAUCAUAACAAAUCACAGAAAAAUGCUAAAAAGGGUAAAUCCAUUUCCCAAGUGGUUGUUUCAGAUAGUAGAAGCUUGGAAAAAUAAUUUUGGAGCCCAUCUCAGAUGUUUAAAUCUCUAUUUUAGUUUUAUCAUGUGUAUCUAAGGUUGUUUUCGUCUUUUGCAUUAUAAUUAAACCAGAGAUGAUAAAAAUAUGAAACAAAGCGUAAUAGGUCAGUAGUGUAGUAUAGUUUGUAGGAAAAACAUAGAACCUGAUUAGAAGCAUCAGAAAAACCACCUUCCUUUUUAGGGAGGAAUAAAUAGGGUAAAUGUAUAGAAAAAGAUGCCCUUCAUUAAAAAUUGUGAGAAAUUCACUAGAGGCUCUAUUUCACCCCUGGAACCUACUGUUAAAAUUUCGUGAUCAGUUUCAUCUUGGUUUCUGUUUUAAUAAUGUUUAAGUAUAUGCUACCUUAGGGUAAUUGAGUAAUGCUAAUUCUUUUCAUGCACCUCCAAUGGAUCUCAAACUUAUGCAGUAUCUUAUCCUUGCCAAAGUUAAGUUACUGGUAUAUUUUCAGCUUCAUAGCUUGCUGUUAAAGAUGGAAAUAAAAUUGCAAGAUGAGCCUAGCUAAAUGAAAGAAAGAAACCUUAAUUAAUGAUAAAGGUAUUUUUUUAGGAGAGGUACAAAAGAACAUUCAGAAACAGGAUAACUUUCCGAUCUAAAGUUUAACAAGAUAGUGCAUAUAUGUACACAAUCACCAUCAAAUCAACCCCAGGCUUGUACCACACCCCACCUUCCGCGUGUAGAUAAAGAAGGUGUAAAACCUUGUUCAAGUGAAUGUGGCCCUAAUAUAACUACUUCUUCAGUACUAACUCGUGUUUUACAUCCUAUGAAAAAGUUUGGGAAUUUUUAACUUGAUGCAUUGCAUUUCGUGUAGACCUGAACCUCGCUGACGGGACUUACGAGCUUCACCCGGCGCCAGAAGGAGCCAUAGCGGAUCUGCAGCAAGUCAGAGCCGAGCCCGUACCAAAACAAGCCGAGGACCAGUUCGCUAACUCCCCGUGUGAAGGCAAGCCCCAGAGCAUGAAUUCCUAUCUUUAAAUACCUGCAAUACAAUUGAUUGCUUUGAUUGCGCAUUUACGUUCUAGGAGUUGAUUAACACCGUAGAUGCAUGAAUUUAGUACCAUUGAUAUGAACACUAGUAUAUUAAGUCGAGUAGUUGCAAUACUUAAUAGGACUCGAUAAAAGUCGAGUAAUUUCCUGUCACUCGCGAGUUAUAUAAGUUGAUUGCUUUACUUAUGUUGCAACUAUAAGGACGAUGGACGGGGAUGGGCUUAUGUUUGGUACUCGGUGGUUUGCCCCGUCUGUCUACAUGAAAUUGGACUAAGGUCGAGAUUUGAUAGUGUUCGUGAUCAAGUAUUUGAAAGUACUAAUCUCAUACCUAGUAUGGGAUGGGGAAGCCUAGUACCUGAUUGAACCAGGACGUGAGCGGAUCGUUCCACUGUCUCUGGAAACUGAGUUCUCCCCUGAUGCAUCAUGUGGUGACAAGUGCGGUCAUAGAACGGCGGAGGCCUGGUCUAUAGAGCCUUGUACCAAGGGAAGUGGGCCCGACACAGGUUUGGGAAUUGAUGGGGGUGGCUGACAAAUGAAGUGACCCUUCGCGGUGCACGGAUGUCAUGGGAUUAGGUUCACCAUACAUGGUUAAGAAAUUCGAAUCGAUUCAUCAGCCUCUCACAGUUUGGGAGUACUUGAUCGCUAUGCUACACUGAGUAAGAAUGAAAGAUAGUGAUGACCUAAUAUGGUUACUUGCUAUUAAUUAUUUGGAAACUAUGCUUGUUUAGUAUAGUUGCUAACUUAGAUUGGUAAAUGAACAUAGAACUUGUGGCUAAAAUAUUGAAAGUAAGCACCUACAUUAGUCGCUUUUGGCAAAAACAAACCCUAGAGCCAAAAAGCUUGCAUGUCUAGGUGUUGGUGGAGUAGUACCACCGGUCGGUUAAGUCUUGUUGAGCGUAGUCGCUCAGCCUUGUUGUGGCAUAUCUCUUUUCAAGUGAUGUUGAUACCUCUGAGUUCGAUGCAAGUGGCACUUGGCCUGCCCAACUUGCUCCGGGUUGGACGGUCGAGUGGGAUCCCUCCUCGGACAGCAAGGAUAAGGAUCAUUGAUGUCAUGACCGGCUUCUUCAUGAAGAUCAUGCAACAAUGUCUAGCUUUCGCUUAUUUAUUUCCGCUGCUUGAAAACUCUGCAAACUUGUUGAAUUUCGGAACUCAUGUUAUAAUAAUUCAAUGCACUUUGUUAAAUCUGGAUGGACUGUUGUAAUCUCUGUAACCACUCACCAUCGUGUGAGUCUUGCUUUAUCGAUCCUGAGUUAAGUGGUUUAUCGGAUGAAAUCCGACGGACGACCAAGUUGACUUGUUUAAAGUACAUGAUCGCGUGUUAGGUGACUUAAGUGUGCUUUAGCCAUGUUAAUUUGGGCGGUUCCGCCACAGCGCAAGCGUGGCUUUGCCGCGGUCGUGGGUUGUGGAGCGAGGCACUCGUGCGGUCACUGUCCGGGCAUCGAUAGGCGAACGGAGCUUGGCCGGUCCGAGGCGGUGGCGUGGCAUCCUCUGGCGGGCGGAGCUAGCUCAAGACGGGGCGAAGGGCAUGCGUGGCAUCAGGGAGCGGGAUAAGCGCGCUCGCCUACUAGGCAGCCGAGCGCGCGAGUUGUUGUGUCGCGGCCGUCGGUUGGGCGACGGUGAGCUCGCCAGUUGAUGGCGGCCACGCGGCGGGUAGCGUGCGGGAACGCGCGUCGCGGCGCACUCUGGCCGAGGGCGUCGCAAGGUAGGGGGAAAAGGCUAGGUUUGGGGGAUUUUUGUUAAAACUUUUUCAAAAGAACCCGUGAAACUCCAAAAGUAAAACAUGUAGUCCUAACGUCCAGCUCCAAACUUUACAAAAAGAGUUUGCUUAAAUUCGAUAUGGAUUUGAACCUAUGGAUUUGCAAAGUUCGGCAGAACGUCAGCCUCCUAGGACUUAGACAGAUUUUGGUUUUGCUGUUUUUAAGCAUUUUGGCCAACUUUGGCUCAGAUUUUGAGUAGCUUCCCAUUUGAAUCAUGCCAAGCUAUAAUUGAAGGAAUUGUUCUUCGAUCUUAGGACUCCAACUCCUAGUAAGGACUUUUCUCAGGUUCAGUUCAAUUUUUAGGAGAAACAGGCUUGCCAACAUGCGUGCUCUGGGUGUCCUUCCAGACUUAGCGCAGAAAAGCAUUUGUGCUAGCUUGACUAUUUUGAGCGACAUUGACCAAGAUUUUGAAUAGGUUUGGUUGUGAAUUAGACUUGGGUCAGUAUAACAAAGUUGUAACACACUCGCGGAACUACAACUUCUAUUAGGGGUUUGACUCGAGGUUAGAUAUAGAAUUGUGAGAUAAUAGGUUGCAAAGUAGAGGAAAAACAUGAGUUCCAGGACUUACGUUAUUUGCAGGAUUUUGAUGUACUCCUGAUUUGACUCUUAUUUUUGACCUUCUUCCACUCCAAAUUAGCCGAUGUGUUAUUAAUAAAAUUUGUUUGAAAUUAAAAGUUUUACAACUCCUAUUUGGGCAAAAAUUCAAGUUUGUAUACAAAAACUCAAGUUUCCUAUUUAACCCCAAAAGGAGAUUUUUAGGGGCAAAUUGGACAUUUCACUUCUUCUACUUAGUGACUAAUGACUUUAUUAAGUAUAACUACACCUAAUUAAGGUAGAAUUGUUACAGGGAUCGACCAGGACAACUGACAGGGGAUGCCCACUUGGUGUGGACCCAGGGAGUAGGUUAAGCAGAUAAAGGAAAACACAAAGGUCAACCACUGUACAGAGGACCAUACCUAGCCAUGCCCUGCGCAAACGCCGCACAGUGCCACCGUGCAAUGUCAGGCGAACACUGUGCUACCUGACCGUCACAACGGAGCAUGAACAAGGAUGGAGUGCGAUGGUCAUACUGUACCCGGCGACGUGGGCAACGACAAGACUAGGCAGCGCUCGUACUCUCUCUCUCUCUAACUUGUAAGGCUGUCCCCUUGGACUAUAAAAGGGGAUGGGCCCUCUCUCUCCCAAAUAGGUGAAGCGUCCCCACAUCAGCGGAGACUAAAUGUGAUAGAAAUAUCAGUCCCAGGAGGCUGAUAACACAUUUAUUCGACAGAUGGUUCAAAAACCGUACAACUCCCGAAGGAGCGGGCGGGCAAGCCACACCCAAAGAAGAACUAAACCAAUAACGAUACAAAUCCAAGUUGCAGUCCAGUCGGACUCCGGGCUGCAAUCGGAACUAAGCGUCAGCGGAAGCAUUCUGCAAAAGCCAACACCACAGGCAGCGUUGGGUGCGGACACGACCUCCUACUCGAGAUCCUUGGCGAUGUAGUCUGGGUCUUCCUCUGAAGCAACAAAACAAGGGUGAGUACGAAGGUACUCAACAAGUCCAACCCCAUCCACGGAGGGGGAUACAAACAAGAGUAUGCACAGGAUAUAACAAGGAUAAGGUUAAGGUUCAUUUGCAACAAAGCUAGAUUUUCAACACAUGCAGAGGUUCAUUUCCAAAAGAGUUUUUGCAAAGCAUUUCCUUUAUUAACCGAAACAUUAAGUGGGGUUGAUCCUACACAAAGGAUCCAAAUUUUAUUGCUAUCGGACUCCCCGUCCGCCAUAGCUCAUGACACAACUGCCGGACACUUCCAAAGUCCAACACACGCCAUAAAAACCAUCCAUCUCCAAGUGCUAGUUAUGUGACCAAGCCGUAACUCGUCCAAUCCCAUGGACACAGCUACCCGGAUAGGUUUUAACUCUGCAGAGGUUGUACACUUUUCCCUCAAGUAGGGUACCGCAGUACGAUCACCUUAGUGCCAGUGCGAAUCCUAACAAAGCCAUUACCCACCUUAGCUAAGAAUGACUAGUCCACACGGAAGCAACCAAGGGGUUAAUGACAUACCAACGAGGUUGUAACCGGGACCUAAGUCACAAAGAUCUUACUCCUUUUUCAUGGGCUGCCGUUGCUCACUAGCUCACCCGAAGACUAACAGUUUAGCUAGUGGGAUUUAUGCUAAGCCGUUGCCGCAUACAAUGGAGUGGUUGCACGAAGGUUGGGUUAGGCAAGAUGACACAUUAACUUGGUCCUUAACCAUGACAAGAUGGAUAUCUCCCAACCUUGCUCAAGCACCAAGGUACGAGCCCAACAUAUUGGCAUUUCACACCUGAAACACCCAUCCAUCUCAUCUAAGCAUUUCUUUCCUUUACUUCCAAAAAACCCAAUUUCCCUUUUUAAAAUACUCACACAUUUAUUUUUUAACAAAACACAUUAUGGUCAUGACUGAAUUGAGUAACAAGGUCCUAAGCAUUCUAGCAGUAAUUAUCAUCCAAACAGAGCAAGUCAUAUUUAGAGAUAGUUAUAGGACAAGCAAGGAAUAAUCAUAACAAUCAAGGGGUGGCUAUCCAACCAUGUUUCGGCGGUAAAAUAAUAUGCAAUUUAUAAAAUAGGCCAAUAUGUUGUGUUUGAAAAACUAGGAUAAAUAUGCAUCAAAGGGUGAGAUUGGACUUGCCGUUCUCAAAGCCUUCCGGGAGUUCCUGCUCGCGGUACUGGUCCUCGGGCUCGGGCUCAUGGUCAAACUCCUCCUCAUGCUCCUCCUUGGGUACUCCACGAUCUAAGCACACACAAUCGAGCACACAAUAAAUAAAAGAGAAUUAAAAAUUUUCCCAUUGAGCUACGAACAGAGAAUGCGAACGGAAAAUUGAAGGAGUGAGCAUUUUCAUGAAAUUUGGAUAUGCCUCAGUGGAAGUAUAUGGGAGGAGGCCGUGAUCGAAUUUGGGAUCAAUUGGAGGAAGUUUGGCGCAUGAAAUGAUGAGUUAAAGGAGUGUUAGGGGCUUAAAUCAAGGUUUAGGACUAAACUGCGAGAACUAGGGACCUAUUUGUAAUAAUUUCCGAAAGGUGGAAGGGCGUAUCCGUGAGAUUUCUUUGAGAGAGGUGGGAGGGCUGGUUUGCAAAUAGGGGAAACUAGGAGGUUAGAUCGAAAUGGAGGCCUUCUUCUUCCUUGGGCCGAGACAGAGAGAUUGGAGGGGAGGGAAACCGGUGGGGGGGCCGGCCGGCCGGGCCUCACCGGCGGCAAGCUGAGUGGUGGGGGAGGUAGAGGGGGACGAGGGCGUCCCGUUUGAGGUUUCACCUCGGGCGGAUGGUGGCCGGAGAUGGGGCGUCGGCGGCGGGCAAAGGAGGCGGCGGCGGAGCUCCUGACAGCGGCGCACAGGGCGGUGGGGAAGGGGGUGACGAGCUAGGGGGGAGAUGCUGGUGGUGUGGGGAGGCGGCAGGGGCUCGGCCCCCUUUUUAUAGGCGGCGAGGAGGAGCUCGAUGGCCAGCGGCCUUCAAUGGUGGCCGAGAAUCCCGGUCGGUGGCGUGCCGGAGCGGAGCUCCACGUGGACGGCGUGGUGGGGCUGGCUCGGUCGACGAGGAGCACAGGAGGCACACAGGGGUGGUGGCCGGCGUGGCGUGCGGCCGGUGCUCAUCGGGCGGGGCCGGCCAGGCGCAGGCGGUGGCGUGCGGCUCGACGCGCGAGGCCGGGCGCGGGCGCGGAGCCGGACUAGGCGCAGGCGCGGGGCCGGCACGGGCCAGGCGCAGGAGCCGGGGCCGGGUGAGCGGUGCCAGGCGCCAGACGCCAGGGAGGCGGCGCUAGGGAGAGGAGAGGAAAGAGAGGAGGAGGGAGGAGGAAGAAGGAAGAAAGAGAAGGAAGGAAGGGAAAAAAGAAAAGGGGGAAAAGGAAAAGGAAAAAGGGAAAUCGGCGAUAGUUGCGGAAUUGGUCGGGCACGCGUGACGGAUUUGACGAGCACGCGGCUAAAUUUGCGGGGAACGGAAAAAGAUGAUUGUCGAUGUUGGGUGCCGGGAUGGCGGGUCGCCGAGAAGGAAAAGAUUUUUCGGGAGCUCAAUGGUCGAAAGAUUUUGAAAUAAAUUUUUUAGCGGGUGAUUUGAGUUAGUAAAUUUUACGGACAUUACAAUAGGCCAUACACAUGAGGCACAUCAAAAACCCUCUGAUUCUCUCCAGCACAUAGCACACGCUUUAAGCCCCCCGUCACUCUCUUCCACUUGGACCAGAGCACGACCGGGUCUCGGACACCCCCUUCUCACCCCCAACUCGUUUGUACCCCAACUACAAACUUGGAGCACCUGGGCUUAGGAAUACAGUCAACCAACUGACCUCGAACUGAACGUAGGUCACGUAGCCCGAACCAGUAUAAAACCUGUGUCAUUGUGUGCUAGGCCAUUCCGAUCUAACGCACGGCAAAACUACUAACAUUUACUUGUCGGCCAGAUUCCGCCCCGACAGCACUCAUCUCCAAACUUAACCCAUUUGAUUGUUCCUCUUUGCUUCCAUUAGAUCUUUUGUUGGUGAAGAAGGUUCUGUAAGUGAUUCCUAAUUAUGUGCCUAAAGAUCCAUUUUUCUAAGGUUAAAUCUCAUUGUUCUUCCAUAAUGUUCAGGAGCUGGAUCAAGUCUUUGCAGUUCCUGAUGGUAGCUGGUAAAUUUGGUAGUUGUGCUUUUCAAGCAUUUAACACUCUCCCCUUAGGUUCUUAAAUUUUGCACUUAUCGUCUUGGUACUAUCAAUUUGAGGGUUGGGCAAAUUCCAUCCAUGUUAUAGAACUAGCACAAAAUUCUCAUGUUCCAACCAAUAGCUUUCAAAUCUGAAUAUCCUAGGCUUAGGAACAUUUGUGCUUGCCGUGAUGGUACAUGGAGUGUGAUAUGAGAUGUCUCUGGACAACCCUGAGGCAAAGGAGUUUCAAAAAAUAGUUGUCCAAGCAUUAGAUGUGAAGAACCAGUCUAAUCUUUCCAGUAAAGGAUUCUGUUGCUUGUUUGUCCAGGUAAAUUUGCAUCCUCUAAAGGGCAAUUCCACUAAACUAAGGUUGCUAAUGGUUUCAUUAAAAGCCAGCAUUUCCUGAAGAUUACCCCUAGCUUAUUCCUAUCUUCUCCUAUCUUCAAGCUUCCUGAUGAGGUUGAAGUCUCAGCCAUUUUUCGUCAUCAGGCAUAUUAAUCCUUUUGAACCAGUUCAAAAAUGCGGUUUUGCCUUCUCUAGUACAGGGUGCAUAGAUAUUGGUUAGGAUCCAGUUUUCUCCAAUCUACCUACAUGAGAAUUAUACUGAUUGGGCAUAAUCAUUUUGAAAGUCCAAGUGACCACUGAACUUGGAACUGUUCCAGAUAAUGUUAGUCCCUCCUGAGUUACCCACUAAUAGUAAGAACACAUAAUCAUCCAUAUAUGCUGGAUAGAAAUUUUAACAUAUGUAAUAUCGAAGAAUUCUUUCUAAGUUUCUUGUAGACAUAGAAUAUCACAUUUGGAUUUACAAAUCUUGCUUUUGACCGCAUCCCAUUUCCCAUCAGAGUUAAUACCUCUAAUAUUCCACGAUAGAAUGACCCAAUUCCUUUUAUGUUGUCCCUGAUUAUAGAUGCUCAUUGAUGAGAAGCCCAACAAAUCGCAUGUGUAAGAUACAAUUAUCCACAGGAUGUCCAAACCGAAAUAAAUAAACAUUCUAAUUAAGAUAAAGAUCACCAGGAUCAACCACAUGUUCAUAAGGGAUAAUAAAGAAGUCCACAUCCCCAAGACAUUACAGUUUAACAAAAUCUCAACCAUUCCCAUCAUGAUACAGGAUAAACUAAUAAUGAAGAUAGCAAAUAAGAUCUUGCUACUUCUUGAUCUUCUUGCGUGAUUCCUCGGAUUCAAUCUCAUCGAUCUUCUCUUUGCUUUUCUCUCUCUUGGAGUUGAUUACCUUCCUGGAGGUCUUGUGGCUUCCAAUGACUUGCUUGUUCUUGCCUUUGUUGCAUAAUGCAUCCUCAGACAGAGCUUGUUGAAUAGCUUGUUCAGGUCCACUCUGCGGGAAGCCAUCUCCGGUGAGAUGUUCGGCGUCUCCGAACUUCUCCAGGAUCCAGCGGCUAUCGGAACCGGAGACAUGGACAACACUGAUUGAGGUGUUAGGAAUUUUCCUGCCAACCGAGAUCGUUGGAUCGGCAUGCCUGCAGAUUUCCUCUAUGACUGCCUCAUGAGAGACGACGACCACCCGCUCACCUGUUGAUGCAACACACGACAGCUUGAAAUUCACCACCGGGUACAAGUUUUGACCAUACAGCAGAGAGCACCAGAAAUUACUAUGUGGAUCGGUGCUUACCCUUGUGCUUCUCGGCGAUUGCAUUCAAGCGGGAAACACAGCGCUCGGAAAGUUGAUCAAGACUCUCCCCACCACCCUGUCCAAAAGGAGAUGACUAGUGAGUAAUAUAUAGCUUUUACUUCAACUAAGACUAAUUAAGUACAACUUCGAGAUCAGAGGAGAAUGGAAAUUAGUUACAGGUAUUUCUUGGUCUCUGCCACCACGUGCGAAAGCCUUGUAAGCUUCAGAUCUCUUGGCAUCGUCAAUGGUCCAACCUUGGAACAAUCCCAUGUGCCUUUCCGUCAGUGCCCGAUCAAUCACCAGCUGAAACAGCACAGAAGCCCAUUUAUUCGGAUGAUAUAUAGAACACGAAUUCGUGAAGCGAGAAAAAUUAGCACAUCAAAAAACGUUCAUACAUCAGAAUCAGAUACGCAGCAAUGCGCUGCGAUCGUUUGCGCAGUCUGGGAAGCACGCUUCAAGUCAGAGGAGUAGACGGCAGCUGGCUUGGCUUCUUCCGACAGACGACGGGCAACCUUGAGGGUUUGAACAAAAUCAGAAUCACGUACAUAAUCUCAAGUCAUGACGAUCUCACAAAGUAUGGCGUACCUUGGCAGCUUGCUGCCUACCAGUUUCGUUCAGCUCCUGAUCGAUCCGUCCCUGUUGAAACUUAAAAUAAGCCUUAACACAUGUUGUAUUGCAUCGCAGAGGGAGAAUCAUAUCUAAGUGAUGCGAUAAGUAGCAAGCUGUGACAGGACAGGAUGAACAAGAAGCGACCUGAAUGAUGCGGGAGACGUUCCAAUCCGUCUGUCCAUGGCGCACCAACACCACCUCCGCGAAGUGCUCGCCGUGCGUCGAUGCAGGUGCCAUGAUCGAUCGGCCGGCGUUACUGCUGCAGAGGGAAGGGGAGAUGGAUGGUCUGGAACCUCUCUGAUGCUGUAUGAUCUAGCUGCCCUGCAGAGGGAAGGGGCGACUUUAUGGAGGCCAGAGGCACAAGGGAGGAAACGCCGCGGCGAAGACCUGGGAUUUCCCUCGACAGCACCAGGAGGCCAUCUCCAUGUACGAUUGUUGCUUGGACUCCAAUGCAUCUCCAUGUACGCGACCACGGCGAAAAGGCCAUUUCCGUCGAGCGCACCUCCAUGCGACGGUGGCGGGGGGUUGACUAAAAAAUUAGAAACACGGUUUGAGCCACAACAGCCAUUCCAACAGCAGCUUCCGGAAGGCUCUGGAAGGCUCUGGAAUCACAAGCAUAAUUCGUGUACGUUUUGAAGAUGGAAAGAUGGCGACCUGCUAGUUGACUUCCAACAGCAGGUUUGGGCAACACGCCAUUCCAGCAGCAGGUUUGGGCAACGCCAUUCGAGGAUCGGCUUCUCCAGGAAGUACGUGGCCAACUAAUAUAACCUGCAGUUGGUCGGCGGACCAAAUUAAAGAAGCUAUCCACUUUCUUCUGCAUCAAGACCUCCUGUUAACCGGCCCCAUCCACUUUCUUCUCCAUCAAGACCUCCGGGGUCCUGCGCGGACCAUUGGCGCGGCCACGUCGCCCUGUUUUCCCGACGUCGGAUCGUGCGAUCCCGUAGGCAUGUGGAAUUUUGCAAAAAAAACCUUCAGUUCUCCGCUAAUCUACUUCGGGUUUAGGGAGGACCCUCGCCAACUGUAACCACGUUCAAUUUAUUUGCGGCACACCCCUUUGGUUAAAUAAUAUUUCAACAUCAAGAAGAGAAAAUUCCAAUUCUGCGUCGCUUUUGAAAAAAACCACCUGCCUAUCAUUUUGCGAAGAACCCCACCGCAACCUCGCAGCAACACACACUUGGCCCCAAGCCACCGCUCCCUCCCAAUUCUCUCCACAUCCCCCUCUCUCUAACCCUCCCGCCCUACCUGACGGCUGCCGCACACUUUAGUUGGCAUUGUUAGUGUCUUUUGAUGUUCUUAAUGCCUGCUACUGGUUCAGAUUUAUUUCUUUCCCCUUCUGUAUUUAACUAGGUUUGGUAGUAGCUUGUAGCCUUGCCUUUAUUCAACCCUAGCACCAGUAAAUGUAGGCCAUGGAGUUAUAAAAAAUUGAUAAACCAGCCACUUCAAUAAAUUGGUGUCUCCCAAUUCUAACUCUUGGUGCUUAUACCAAAAGCAAGCAUCGGACUGAAUAUUUCUGCAAAAAAUUAGCUUCAAGAUCGCUAUCUACGAUAUUUCGAUCAUUUGAUUUCUUUUCCUUUUCUUUUUUUUUGCGAAACACCAUUUGAUUUCUUGAUGGUGAUGAGUUAACUGUGUUGUGAGGUGAGAUAAUCCAUUGUCUCAAAUCAUUCCUGAUGUUGAGACCUUUAGUAAAAUGGCAUUUUGAGAAUAUUGUGGAUUGCUUUAAUUUUUACAGCUAGUGCUUGCAAACUCUGUAUGUGUCAUUCAGACAGCUUGAUUGCAUAUGACCUUCCUCAACAAUACAUUCAUUUUAUGACAUGCUUUUCAGGUUAGGUUGGAGAAAAAGAGGGCAAACUGAAGAUUGCGCUAAUGAAAACAAAUUUUCAGCUUAUGCUCCAAUAAUUUUCUAAAUCCUAUUAUCAUUAAUUAGUUUGAAGAAACGAUGGGAUCUGUAACCUGGUAAAGCUACCCAUUUAUAUGGAGACUCAAAAGACUUUCUAAUUUGCGCAGGUCAGCAGUGAUUAAAACAUUGCAUAAUUCUUUCUAUUUAUUACCAUGUAGUUUCAGCUUUUGUACCCGUUGAUUUGUCUAUGAAAUUAUGUGCACCGGAUUAAGGAAAGGUUAUGCCAAAAAUGGUGCUAGCUCAAUGACAACAAGACGUGAGCAAUAUAACCUAAUUAUCCAAUUUUGGUUGGUGGACAUGUGAUUUCCACCGUCGAAACUCCAAAAUUACAUUAAAAAUUGGGCCGGAGAAAUUAUUACACAGCUGUUUACCGCACUAAACAAUGAACUUUCGUGGCAAAAGAAAAUAAUAAAAUGAAGGGUCGUAGACAUGCCUGUUUCCAAUUUCUCUCUUGACAGGCCAACAGACCAACAUUGAUGAGAGGGCUACUUAGACUCCCUGAUACAUUUCUCCUAGGAGAGGCCUCGGAAUCUGCUGAAUGUCUAACUGAAGGACUCUAUAGAAUAAAAGAGAAUGUCUGUAAGUAAUAAUCAUCAAAUUUAUUUGUUGAAAGCCUGCAUCAAUCAUCAAUUACACUGCAUUGUGUUAACGGUAGGCCAUGUUAGCUAUUAUGUAUCCAAAAAGAUCAAAUUAAAUUUGAACCAGAGAAUCAAGAAAGAGAUGAAACAGAUGAAACGACCUACUAUGAGCCAAGAAAUUAUCUGUAUGUUUAAACUCUGAAUUAUCAAACAAUUCUAAAUUAAGCUGGUUUACAUAAAAGGAAAAGGUGUGUACUCCGUAUGAGCAUGGGCUUCCUAUUUUUAAGUUUUAAACCUGCUGAAUCAGAACGAUUUUAUGGCAUAGAGGUACUGAAUUACUGAUAAAGAAAACAUUGCAGAGAACAGUAACAUAUACACAAUGAAGGCGGAUCGCACAGAUGGUAGCAUGGCGCAGGGUAAGAAGAAGGCACGGAGCGGCGUUUUUUUUUAAAUUGAUUUAAUUUAGAAUAAAUACCACAGCAUUCUCACGUGGUACCUCUGCUGCUGCACAAAUUAUAGCAAAGACCGUCCGCCGCACGCGUACUGCUUCUACACAGUCCCGUGUCAUAGGCACACCGCACACACGUAUGGCUGCACUACAAAGCCGUUCCCCUGCCGAUGCAGAAGCAGCAAGCCAGCAUUAUUAGGGUAGAAUCAAACACUUUACACUUCAGGGUUACAUUCACAACUGCCUAUGAGCAGGCAUUUACAAGCAGCAGUGCAAUGCUUCAAAUUUCAGUGUGGUAUUGUUUACCCACAGAGGAAUUUCUAUACAAGUUCAUUAUCAUUGCACUGACAAGUGAGAGCAUUGUAGUAAUGGAAGAAUGGAGGCAUGUUCAAGCGUAUCAAGGACUCGAGGUAGCCGAUUGUAUUGCCGUACGAACAAGAGCAGAGCAGCAUGUUUUCUUGCCAUCGCCGCCAAAUGCACUCUGCAGAAAGCCAUCUUCAUUGAUGUGGCCGACGUCCCCGAGCUUCUCAAGGAUCCAAUGGCCGUUCUCACCGGAAAUAUGGAUCUCGCUGAUUGAAGUGUUGGGGAUUCUUCUGCGAACCAAUGUCGUCAUUGGAUUGGCGUGCCUGCAGAUUUCCUCUAUGGUGGCGCCAUGGGAGACCACAACCACACGCUCCCCUGCGAAUGCAACAUGUCAGCGCAACAGCGUAAAUAACGGUUCCAGUUUGGAGUUUGGAGUUGAUGAAGAAUUGGCAGCCAUAGUUAUGCAUCAUCAGGUGCAGGUUUUGACGGAGCUAGUAGCACUACUGUAAAUUGGACCUAGGUUUUAUCUGCUGCAUUGUACUGAAUACAGAUAGCACGAAGGAAUUGAGAAGCUAAAGAGUAAUCUGAAUCAGAUCAUUGCUUACCCUUGUGCUUGUCAGCUAUCAUGUUCAAGUAGGAAACACGGCGCUUGGAAAGUUGAUCAAGACUCUCCCCACCACCCUACCAAAAAAAUGAACGGAUUAGAUAACUAGUAUACAGCAACCAGAAGGAAAAAUGACUGUCACUGAUUCAGAAGGAUUCAAGGUAGCUUUGGGAGGAGAAUGGAAGUUAGUUACAGGAAUUUCUUGGUUUCGGUCAUCUGAUGAGAAAGCCUUUUUAUCGCCCAACAGCAGCAAUGCGUCAACCACAGUGUUAUAAAUCUGCACAUUGGGGGGCAAUCCUCUCACCCUCAUCUCCCCAAGCAAACUCCCAAUCGUCUCCAGAUCACCUUUCCUCCCGAGCCAGUUAACAAUAGAACCAUAUGUCACCACAGUUGGCAAAAAUCCUUUCGUGUCCAUAUCGCCCAACAAAAGCAAUGCCUUCCCAAUGUCCCCGCGCCGGCACAUUGUAGAACACGGCGUGCGGAAUGCACUCAGCUCCCCACCUCGCCUCAAUCAGCUUCAUCCCCUCCUCCACCCGCCCUUCCAAGCACAUCCCUCUGACCAUCGCGCAGGUGCUGUAGUUAUCCGCGCCGCCCUCCUCCGCAAGCAUUUCGUCAUACAGCUUCCGGGCAUCCUCCCAUCGCAGGCGCUCCACGAGAAGCCUGAGCAGGCGGUUGCAGUGCCUCGCCUCCGGGAGCGUGCUGUGCAUCUCCCUGGCGCGAGCGCACGUCUCGGCGGCCUUCCCUUCCAUCCCGGCGUCCGCGGGAGCGGGGUGAUGCGGGGCAGGAGCGGCGGCCGCGGCGCGAGGUGUGGGAGCGUUUAGAGAAAAAGGAAAGAAAGAAAGAAGAAUGGCUAGUUCAGUUGCUCGGUCCACAUUGGAACUGCUGCUUCUUCUCCUUGGUAGUGCUUCUGCUAACUUUCCAAAAAAAAAAUACUUCACUGAAAAUAAAAUAAAAGUUCACUGACAAAUGAGAGCAUUGUAGCCAUGAAGGAACGAAUUUACUAUAUGAUACGGUAGUGUUUCUAUUAACUUUCAAAAAAAAUACAUUUCACAAAUUACAGGGUGAUUGACUAAAAAUAGAAGUUCUCACGGACAAAUGAGCUACAAUGGAGGAAGGAAUGAAGGCAUCACCUAUGCUUUAACAGUCUGUAUGAACAUGAGCAGCAUAUUUUCGGUUACAAUGUACUCUGCGGGAAGCCAUCUCCGAUGAGGUGUCCGGCGUCCCCGAACUUCUCCAGGAUCCAGCGGCCAUCGGAACCGGAGAUAUGGACAACGCUGAUUGAGGUGUUAGGAAUUUUCCUGCCAACCGAGAUCGUUGGAUCGGCGUGCCUGCAGAUUUCCUCUAUGACUGCCUCAUGGGAGACGACGACCACCCGCUCACCUGUUAACGCAACACGCGACAGCUUCAGUGUGCAGCUUGAAAUUCAUCACCAGGUGCAAGUUUUGACCACACAGAGAGCACAAGAAAUUACUACGUGAAUCGGUGCUUACCCUUAUGCUUCUCGGCGAUUGCGUUCAAGCGGGGAACUAAGCGCUCGGAAAGUUGAUCAAGACUCUCCCCACCACCCUGUUCAGAAGGAGAUCAUGAGUAAUAUAUAGCAACCAACAGGGGGAAAGCAUGCCUAGGCCUAGCUUUUACUUCAACUAAGACUAAGUACAACUUUGAGAGGAGAAUGGAAAUUAGUUACAGGUAUUUCUUGGUCUCUGCCACCGCGUGCGAAAACCUUGUAAGCUUCAGAUCUCUUGGCAUCGUCAAAGGUCCAACCUUGGAACAAUCCCCCGUGCCUUUCCGUCAGUGCCCGAUCAAUCACCAGCUGAAACAAACAGAAGCCGGAUGAUAUAUGGAACACCAAUAAUUCGUGAAGCGAGAAAAAUUAGCACAAACUAAUACUAGUAUUCAAAGAGUGUUCAUACAUCAGAAUCAGAUACGCAGCAAUGCGCUGCGAUCGUUUGCGCAGUCUCUGAAGCACGCUUCAAGUCAGAGGAGUAGACGGCAGCUGGCUUGGCUUCUUCCGACAGACGACGGGCAACCUUGAGGGUUUGAACAAAAUCAGAAUCACGUACAUAAUCUCUAAGUCAUGAUCUCACAAAGUAUAUAUAGCGUACCUUGGUAGCUUGCUGCCUACCAGUUUCGUUCAGCUCCUGAUCGAUCCGUCCCUGUUGAAACUUAAAAUAAGCCUUAACACAUGUUGUAUUGCAUCGCAGAGGGAGAAUCAUAUCUAAGUGAUGCGAUAAGUAGCAAGCUGUGACAGGACAGGAUGAACAAGAAGCGACCUGAAUGAUGCGGGAGACGUUCCAAUCCGUCUGUCCAUGGCGCACCAACACCACCUCCGCGAAGUGCUCGCCGUGCGUCGACGCAGGUGCCAUGAUCGAUCGGCCGGCGUUACUGCUGCAGAGGGAAGGGGAGAUGGUCGCUCUUGCUCUAGCUGCCUUGCAGAGGUUCUUUGAAAUCUGGAACCUCUCUGAUCUCUUGUGCUAUAUGAUCUAGCUGCCCUGCAGAGGGAAGGGGCGACUUUAUAGAAAGGAGGCCAGAGGCACAAGAGAGGAAACGCCGCGGCGAACCCUAUCCAUCUCCAUGUACGCGACGCGAAGUAGGCCAUUUCCGAAGGGGCGAAGUAAGCGACGCACGCGACGCGAAUCCUAUCCACCACGAAGAGGCCAGAUUGCUUCGACUCCAUGCCAUCACGGUGGCGGGGUUGACUAACAAAUUAGAAACACGGUUUGAGCCACAACAGCCAUUCCAACAGCAGGUUGGUUUCCAUUCUAGCCAAGCCAUCCAUCGGACGUGUCUUUCCAACAGCAGCUUCCGGAAGGCUCUGGAAGGCUCUGGAAUCACAAGCAUAAAGCCUGCGCCUGGUCGGCGGACAAGCAUAAAACCUGAGUUGUCUUGUUCAUGAUAAGUACAAACCCCCGUGCACUUCUUCUCCACCGAGACCCCCGCGCCGGCCCUGCUUUCCCGUCCGUCCGAUCGAGCGGGUCCGGCCGUCCACAAGCAAGUUGGUAAGCGCAUGGAAUUUUGCAAAAAACGCCCUUCAGUUCUCCGCUAAUCUACUUCGGAUCUAGGGAGGCCCUUUGCCAACCGUAACCACGUUCGAUUUAUUUGCGGCACACCCCAUUGGUUCAAAAAUAUUUCAACACUAAGAAGAGAAAAUUCCAAUUCCACGUCGCUUUUUAAAAAAUCACCUGCUGGUCAUUUUGCGAAGAACCCCCAACCGCAACCGUGCCGCUAACACACGCUUGGUCUCGAGCCGCCGCCCCCUCCUAAUUCUCUCCGCAUCCCUCUCUUUCUCACCCUCCCGCCCUCCCCGACGGCCGCCGCACACUUUAGUAGGCAUGGUUAGUGUCUUUUGAUGUUCUUAAUGCCUGCUACUGGUUCAGAUUUGUUUUUUUCCCCUUCUGUAUUUCACUAGGUUUGGUAGUAGCUUGUAGCCUCGCCUUAUUCAACCUUAGCAUCAGUAAAUGUAGGUAAUGGAGUUAUAAAAAACUGAUAAACCAACCACUUCAAUAAAUUGGUGUCUUCCCAAUUCCAACUCUUGGUGCUUAUACUAAAAGCAAGCAUCGGACUGAAAAUUUCUACAAAAAAUUAGCUUCAAGAUCACUAGCUACUAUAUUUCGAUCAUUUGAUUUCUUUUCCUUUUUUUGCAAAAGACCAUUUGAUUUCUUGAUGGUGAUGAGUUAACUGUGUUGUGAGGUGAGACAAUCGAUUGCCUCACAUAAUUCGUGAUAUUUAGACCUUUAGUAAAACGGCUUUCCGAGAAUAUUGUGGAUUGCUUCAAUUUUUACAGCUAAUACUUGCAAACUCUGUAUGUGUCAUUCAGACAGCUUGAUUGCAUAUGACCUCCCUCAGCAAUACAUUAAUUUUAUGACAUACUUUUCAGGUUAGGUUGGAGAAAAAGAUGGCAAACUGAAGACUGCGCCAAUAAAAACAAAUUUUCAGCUUAUGCUUCAAUAAUUUUCUAAAUCCUAUUGUCAUUAAUUAGUUUGAAGAAACGAUGGGAUCUGUAACCUCGUAAAGCUACACAUUUAUAUGGAGAGACUCAAAAGACUUUCUGGUUUGCGCAUGUCAGCAGUGAUUAAAACAUUGCAUAGUUCUUUCUAUUUAUUAUCAUGUAGUUUCAGCUUUUGUACCAGUUGAUUUGUCUAUGAAAUUAUGUGCACCGGAUUAAGGAAAGGUUAUGCCAAAAAUUGACGUAGAAAAUGAGGCUGUGAUUGUACGAGUUCGAAAUGGUGCUAGCUCAAUGACACCAAGACAUGAGCAAUAUAAUCUAAUUAUCCAAUUUCCAUCGGUGGACAUGUGAUUUCCACCAUCGAAACUCUAAAAUUACAUUAAAAAUUGAGCCAAAGAAAUUAUUACACAGCCGUGGGAAGCCUGCGUGAACCGGUGAAACCUAAUUAUUACAUAUGUUGAUGUUGAAUGUGUUGCUAAAUCUUAUUAUUUGUUCUAUGAACAUGGGUCCAUGAUAUUGUGUAUUCUAUUUUGACCCUGACACACAUACAUAUCAAGAUGCAAGGUGCUGUGAUGAAUUAUGUCCUUGACCUCGAGAAGAAUUGUUAUCUUCAUGCAGAUCUCGCAAAAUCCAACUCCAGAAUCAUGUCCUUGACCUCGAGAAGAAUUAUUCUCUUCAUGCCUUAAGCUCCAGGACAUCUUUCUUGCUCCACUAUGUGGUUCUUCGUUAAUGCUGUCACACUUUUGAUCUCAUCAGAUGAUGCUUCACCUUAUUCUUGUGAGAAAAGAACUAGGAAACCAAUGUGAUUUUCUGAUUCAGGUAUCAUUCAAGUAGCUUUUGAGACUGUAUGUCAUGAAAGAAAACCAUGUGUAUUUUACACCUUGUUGAUCUAUGCAUGAUGAUAUCAGCACUUUGAGCUUACAGUAGCUCCACUACUACUGCUGAUAGAGUUUGUUAUAUCAGUCUACCCAGCUACCAACAUACCGACACAAAACUGGACAUUCAUAAAUUUAUUUUGAAAAUUUCAAAGCCAUCCUUUGGGACUUGGCUGUGGAAAUAUUGCUAUAAUGCUAGAGCAUCACUGGAGUAAAUUGCCAAUAGUUCUUAAAAGUCAACAGCAGGUUUUUUCCCUUUUUAACUAUGUGGGGGUGUUUGGUUCCCAUGUACUAAACUUUAGUCCACUAUUUUGGUGCACUUUUAAUCCCUAAACACCCAAACAGGUAGACUAAAGUUUGGACUAAAGACUUUAGUCCUCUAGUCCACAAAACUGGACUAAACUAGACUAAAGGAUGGUGGGGACACAUCUGCCCCUCAUUUAUUGCCCUCUCUCCCACCCGGCUCCCUCCCGCUGCCUCCCGCUCGGUCCCCGCCACCGUCGCUGCCUGCCGCCCUCCCUCCCGCCCGCUCUCUACCACGCGCGCCGAAUGUGGCGGCGGAUCCUGGCCGCACGGAGGCAGUCCCCCUGCCUAGUCUGCUGCGGUGGCGGUGCUAGUGCGUGGUGGGUAGACGAGCGACGCCCCCGGCCUCCACCCGCACCCGCUCCCCCUUAGCUCCGAGCGCAGCCAACGGCUGCCGCCGAGGGUGCCCCGCGCGGGGUGCCUCCGUGCGAUGGCGGGAGCCUACGGCGGACCUCCAUAGCCAUAGGGCGGCGGUGCUGGGCGGCUCGUCGGUGCUCAACCCCGCCCAUGGCAGUGGCUGCCCGUGGUUUGGGUUGUGUUUUGGGGAUUUUGAUUUGGCGCAAGGGAUUGAUCUGCGCUGGGCACUCAUCCCCCACCGCCGCCUCGCGCGAUGGAGGAUCCGCCGCCACAUCCGGUGCGCGCAGCGGGGAGUGGCGCAGCGACGGGGAGGCCUGCGCCUUGAGUGCCAUGUGGGCACAGGAGCGGAGGGGAGGCUGGGAGGGAGUGCCAGAACCAGAAGUUGGCAUAGGGGUACUGGCAGCAGGGGUAUAAAUGUCUUUGUUCAACAGCAUUUAUGGACUUUAGUCCAUUUUAGUCCAUGGAACCAAACAGAGGUGGGACUAAAGUUUAGUCCAUGGACUAAAGGAACCAAAUAGGGCCUAACUAGAAAUAUACAAUGGAUGUUCUCACAACGGCUGUUCUGUCCGAGCCCUACAGAAGAAGGCACCAUAGAGUCCAAGAGACCAGCCCCCGCGUCGCCCCCCACCGGGCCACUCGGGCGGCGACCACCCUCUAGCCACCGUCAGCCACCUCUACCCCCUUCUCCCUCGCUGUCGUAGGAGGAAACCACCAGGAGCCUGCGCGGCUCCCUAGGAUGGUGAUGGCGGGGUCUCUCUCGUCGCGGCGUGCUCCGGGUGGAACGCGGCAGCGGCCUCCCUUCUCCUAGCGGCGGCACGCUCGUCCUUGACCCGCGAUGUGUGCUUCCGUGGGCUCGACGACCGGAUCUGGUGAUGUUGAGGGUGGGUCCGGCGAGCGCGUAGCGGGCCCAGCCGAGGGAGCUCGGGCACCGCGGUGGCGGCCCUCAGUGGUGGCGGGGGCCCUUUCUGGUGGCCGGCGUGUGGAUCCACGACAUCGGAGGCUGAUGCCUGUGAGGCCAGGGCGGAUCAGGCGAACCCACAGCCAGGACAUGGCUCGGCCACCGUGGGCCAUGCUGACUCCCGGCGGCGGCGUGCGGCCACAGUACAGGGGCGGAGACGGAGGAAGGGGGCCACACAGGGAGCGGCUUUGGGGCACAGGCUGCAGUCGACGCGGGAGGUCGGGUCAGGCAUUCGCAGGGCUAGGGAACCCGUGCUGUAGUGGCCCGGAUGCAAUUGCGGCUGGCGCACAUGGAGGUCGUGAGGUGCGGCAGCGCCGGCAAGGACGUGCGGCUAGAGGUCGUGCAAGCGAGGAGGUGCGGCGGUGGCGUGGAGGCUACUCGUGUGGUGCCGUUGCAGUGGUGCGAGGAUCUACGCCGAUGGUGGUGGUGAGCCAUUGUUGCGGGAAACUUUUUGUGUGCGCACAUGGUACAACUGAGAUUUCGGCGGUGGCAAGGUGUAGGUGAAGUUAUUGGAGUAGCUCGGUGGAACCAUGUCACCUUUGAUGGCAAAGCAAGUCCGGAUCCUUGGUGUGGAGUCCAGCGACGGAAGUGGCGAGACCCCGUUCGCUUUAAGUUUGUGUGUCCGAGGAGUGGUGUGCGGCGGUGGAUGUGGUGAUGCCCCCACGCGUUUCGAGUUGCCUUGGAGGGUCAGGAUCCGGUGCGGCGUUUUGAUUGUUUGGUGUGUACGGUGCGGCAAUGAUGCUUCGGCGUUGGGUCCUGCAGAGCAGUGGCUUUUUCGGUGUGGUGCAGUGUGCUCCUCCUUUAACUUCUGCUGAUACAAAGCUGUGGAUUGGGAGAUCGAUGACUGUGUGUUUAUGACCUGAGGACGACAGAGGCACGGUGGAGAAACCUUGGUAGCUAUACGGCUUGCAGCAGACUGCGGCGGUCAGUCCUGCAUGGCAGCGGCUGGUUCAGCGUGGGACAUCGUUGGGGAUGACGGUGCUGGCGAUAAGGGCUACUUGUCGGUUUUUCCUGCUGGGUGGUGGUGGUGUGGCGUGGUGGUCGCUGCUCAAGCUUUAGCGUUGCGUGGCUUGCAUCGAUGUCUCAAUCGACCGGUCGUAGAGUUCUUUUUUGUUUUGAGUUGGGUUGAGUCGGCAUUUCUAUUGGGAGCUACUUUGGUGACUCUGCUGGUGUACCUAGUCUGGAAUCUUUUUUCUUUUUAAUAUAAUCCGUAGCUCUCCUAACUCGUUCGUUUCGAAAAAAAUACAAUGGAUGGUAUGCUGCACACUAAACUAGCCACUAGGCUGAUGGCUAAUGCUCAUGUUUCUGUUCUGUUAUAGCCACUAGACUGAUGACCUAUGCUCAUGUUUAUACAUAUGAGAAUUAUGGCGGCACUAAACAAUAAACUUUCGUGGCAAAAGAAAAGAAUAAAAUGAAGGGUCGUAGACAUGCCUGUUUCCAAUUUCUCUCUUGACAGGCUAACAUUGAUGAGAGGACUACUUAGACUCCCUGGUACAGUUCUCCUAGGAGAGGCCUCUGAAUCUGCUGAAAUGUCUAGCUGAAGGACUCUACAAAAUAAAAGAGAAUGACUGCAAAUUUAUUUGCUGAAAGCCUGCAUCAAUCAUCAAUUACACUGCAUUGUGUUAACAGUAGGCCAUGUUAGCUAUUAUGUAUCAAAAAGAUCAAAUUAAAUUUGAACAUGAGGAUCAAGAAAGAGAUGAAACGACCUACUAUGUGCCAAGAAAUUAUCUGUAUGUUUAAACUCUGAAUUAUCAAACAAUUCUAAAUUAAGCUGGGUUACAUAAAAGGAAAAGGUGUGUACUCCAUAUGAGCAUGGGCUUCCUACAUUUAAGGUACCGAAUUACUGAUAAAGAAAACAUUGCAGAGAAGAGUGACAUAUACACAAUGAAACUGGAUCGCACAGAUGGUAGCAUGGCGCAGGGUAAGAAGCAGGCACGGAGUGACGUUUUUUAAAUUGAUUUAAUUUAGAAUAAAUACAACAAUAUUCUCACGUGGUAUCUCUGCUGCUGCACAAAUAAUAGUAACACAUAAAAGGGGAAGGUUUGAGAUAACGAGGAAUGGCUACCGAUGGAUGGGACUAAAUUAAAGUUAUCUAUUCUAUUGCCUCCAACUCCAAAGCAACAGGGUAGAAUCAAACACUUUACACUUCAGGGUUACAUUCACAACUGCCUAUGAGAAGGCAUUUACAAGCAGCAGUGCAAUGCUUCAAAUUUCAGUGUGGUAUUGUUUACCCACAGGAAUUUCUAUACAAGUUCAUUAUCAUUGCACUGACAAGUGAGAGCAUUGUAGUAAUGGAAGAAUGGAGGCAUGUUCAACCGUAUCGAGGACUCGAGGUAGCCGAUUGUAUUGCUGAAGGACCGGAAAGGCGACCGGAGGGAGUGAAUGGGAGCUGAUUCAAAUUUUCUCAAAGAACCUCGGCUAAAGUCCCAACAUAAUCCACAAAAUUCUCUUCUAGCAAUAUCAAGUCCCCUUAGCUAUGCAGGAGCUAAUGGAUGGACCUAGGAAUAUUGCUAGGAACCCAAUUUGAGACUAGCGGAAGCAAGAAAAAGCCCAAACAAGUAUCGGGAGAAGAAAUUCGAAAACCAACUAAAAUUUGGAAAAUUCCGGAAAAUCCUUCGGAAACUUCCAAACUUUCGGAAAUUUCCGGAAAACCUUCGGAAAAUUGCAGAACUCCGGAAAACAGCCUUCGUGAGGAAGUGGGAAAAAUCAAUAACUCGAUCAAACGACCUCCAAAAUCACGAAAUUUGAACCAUAGACUCACAGCAACAUACCAAAGGUAUUUCCCAAAGGCUCAAGUCAAAAAGCCCAAGAAUUGGUAAAUAGAUUCAAAGGAUUUGGGAAGGGCACAAGAAAGGGGAUUUUCAGGGAAUCUCAAAAUUCAAGCCAAAUUUGCGAGGGAUUUGAGGGAGAUCACAUUAUAGAUGCUCACACGGGUCACAAAAACAAUUUCUCCUAACAAAUCUCACGGGAUUUGGGCUCAAACGCGAAGAACGCAAAAUCCCAAAAAAUACAUCUGAAAAUACUGAGAAAGAUAAAUUUUAGAUUCAAAGAGGAUGGAACAAUAUGGCACAAAAUUGAUCUUUGGAUUACUCCACCAUGUUUGGUUUCAAGCCACUCCUAAGCACAAUCCAAACUAGGACGACAAAAAGAUCAACUCACACCUCUCUCCCUCUGCCAAAGGCUCUCACAAAGCAAAUGAGAAAAUCCCCACCAAAACAAGCAAAGGGAUGGCUACCCCAACCAGCCAUCUCUCCUAUAUAUAGGCAUCUGGAAAAUAUCCAGAAUACCCUUACAUGAAGCACACAACUCAAAUACCCUCCAGGGCUAAAAUUGUCCAACGUUUUCCUCGUACAUCUGAUGGACCCGGCGCCUUCACGACUUCGCUUCGCCUCGACGCAAGCUUCGUGUGGUGUCACGCAUCCUCUGACUCGACGUCGUCCAGCCGCAUCGAAAUCGUCCCCUGAUUUUGAGGCCAAACUGGUCAAACCCUCUUGCACACCCCGCAAGCGUGACUCAUCCCCGAUUUUGAGGCCAAGCCGAUCAAACCCUCUCGCACGCCCUGCAAGGCAUGAUUCACCCCCUUGUUUUGAGGUCAAACCAGUCAAACCCUCUUGCACGCCGCGUACGACGUGACUCACCGAUGUUGAUGCGUGUCCGGUCUCCGCCAAGCCUUCGACGCCUUCAAGUCUUUCGCUCCUGGCUCCCGGGCCACCUACUCGACUCGCCUCCGUCCCGCUUGACUCGACCGACGCCGUCUCCAUCUCGUCCGUGUACUCUUGCUCUUUCAUGCACCAUAUGGAUCGUCCAUGACUCCGCUUGGACUCCUCGGGUCCCUCGAUCCAAACAUUCAUGCCCACCCUUCACAACGCUAGUACAUUGGUAUGAACCUUUCGCUUGACCUUCACCUCAUGCCGUCGACCGCCAUGUCGCAUCCUACACCUGCACAUCACAAGCCAAGAGACACAACACACAAGAUAUGUUUUAUACAAACACCACAACACAACUCACACAACUCACACAUCUAGUUAGCCGUUAGCAUAAUCAAGUGCAUAUGGAAUAUGGACUCAACCGGUAAAGACUCAAAUCAUCUAGUUAAUCACUCAUCACAAAUAGACCAAGACACAUGUCAACUUGGUCUCUCAAUCUCCUUCAUAAGUGCAUUGACAAAAGAUGAUUUGAAAGCAAAAGAGAACUCAUUCAAGUGCCCAAAAGCCAAAUAAAAGCAAACACAAGGCAACUUGAUAUGAAAAAGGAUCAUGCAAGCUCUGAACAAAAAACUCUAGGUUCCCAAAGAAGAGACAAAAAACUUAACACAACCGAAGAGUCAAGAAAAAGACACAAGAGCUUCAUGAAUCCCAAAAUGCCAUCAAAGCCAUUUCAAUAUUUGUCAAACGCUCAUCACAAUUAAAUCAAGGUUCAUAUCAACUUGAUUUUCUCAAUCUCCCCCUUGAUGAGUGUGUUGAAACCAUUCAAGCACAAAGAAAUGGUUUGAGAGGCAAAAGUCAAAAAUCUCAUCCAAGUGAUCGAAAGCUAAGUAAAAACUAAGAUCAAAGUUACUUGAGAUGAGAACAACCAUAAAAGCCAAGUUGUGAAACCAAUUAGGCAAAGCUCCCAUUCAAGUGAUCGAAAGCCAUGUAAACGCUAUGAUUAAAGUCACUCGGCAUGAGAAGCAUCACAAAGACCAAAUCAACUUGGAAAAGUCUCAGUUCCCAAAGACAUGGGCAACGGCUCGACACAACCGAGACAAAGAACACAUGAUCUCUCAAGAAGAGGCAGAAAGGGCUCAACACCAAUCAUGUGAAGAUCGAAAACACAUGAUCCCUCAAGAAGAGGCAGAAAUGGCUCAAAACCAAUCAUGUGACGAUCGAAAACUCAAACCAAAUGCCAGCUCCUCAAGAAGAGGUAAAAAGCUCAACACGACCGACAAAAGAGCAAAAGAGAGCACAAAACUAGCACAAAGCU